UCCCCUGUUCGAUAGCCUUUUUUUACAUCUCAUCUCCCUUACAUCUGAAUAAAUGUAUGUGCCAGACCGUCCCCGUUUCGUUGCCUAUACUGCAUACUCUGCUGUGCUGCCGGUACAGUAUACGGCCGUAAUCUUGUCACAGUGAUUGUAAUCAAGAGUGCGUUUCUUCAUGCAAUAUAUUGACGUGUUCCUUUUUUUUGCCGAGGAUUCGUGUACCAAUCUUAUCUUGAACAUCCAAAAGGAAAACAUGAAAAACGUAGCAGGAGUUUCUGAAGGAUAUCAUUUCGUGUAGGAAAUGUUUCUUUGCUACAGUUUGGAACAGCGGAAUUACCAUCUUACUUUCCUUUGAAAUUCCCUGUGGAAUGGGCUACUCCAUGGGAACUUUGGAGGAAACCAAAUGAAUCCUUGUGUUUACAAUGGUUUGUCUUGCGAUUGAAGAAGACCACAAUUAAGUGCCAAACGUAGGUGCCAUGACCGCAUAACACGAGAUGUUUGCAGAAGCGGAACAUACAUCCAGCAACGGCAAGCGCAUCACAUCACAUCAGUUAUUGCUUCAUCAUUUUUAUUCAAACCUUGCCAGUCUCAUCACUGCAAUGCAGAUCACGCACACACAACCACGGGGCGCUUACACAUAACACCAUCACAGGUAACUCUACUUGCCAUUGGAGAGACCGGCCUUCCAGAGGAUGGUGGUCUCGGCGAUCAUGGAGGUGACGACGUAGGGAUCCAUGUUGGACGCCGGCCUCCGGUCCUCGAAGUAGCCCCUGCCUUCCUUCUCGGUGUCGCGCCCCACCCGCACCGACGCGCCGCGGUUUGCCACGCCCUGGAAGAAACAAGAAAAACAAACAAUGUAGACGGAAAAGCAGUAAGAAGAGAGCAAUGGUGACGCUCUUGUCUCAAGUCUCAACUCGCCGUAUUACUUACCCAUACGAAGGUGUUGAUGUCGGCGGUCUCGUGGCGGCCGGUGAGCCGGCGCUCGUUGCCUUCCCCGUAGGCGGCUAUGUGCUCCGUGUGCCGCGCCUCGAGCUUCUUGAUCGCCCUCUUGAUCACCUCGUACCCGCCCUCGCUCCUCAUCGACUUGGUGCUGCAUUCAGACAUCAUCAGGAUCAUGCCAUGACCCAUAGCACAAGAGUAGCGAUGCAUUAGUUUCGCUUGCUCUUUAGAUUACCUGUAGUUUGUGUGGGCACCGGCACCGUUCCACUCUCCCUGCAAUCACAAACAUGUAAGAAAUGGCUAGCUGGCCAGUGCAGAUCAAGUUGAGAAUUUUGGUACAACAAGAUGAAGAAAUGCUCACCGGGAUCGGUUUGGGGUCGAAGGAGACGACGACGCCGGCGAUCUCAGUGAUCCUCUGUUGGGUCACACACAAAACAAAGAUGUUCUUAUCAGCAAAAGUUGCAUUUGAUUUGAUUCAUUCAACUAGACGAGGCAGUUUUACAAUUUACCUCGAGAAUGUAGCGAGCCGCCCAGAGCUCGUCGCCGGCGGAGAUGCCGACGGAAGGGCCGACUUGGAACUCCCACUGGUUGGUUCAGACAGAAGAUCAUCAGCCCAUGAGCAUAUUUUUUCAUGGACAAAGGGGCAUCCAAAUAUGUGAAUGUGAUCCUGCGCCUGAACCUGAAAUUACCUGCCCUGGCAUGACUUCUGCAUUGAUGCCGCCGAUGUUGAUGCCGGCGUAGAGGCAGGCCUUGUAGUGGGCGUCGACGAUGUCGCGCCCGUAAGAUUUCUCCGCACCCGCGGCGCAGUAGUAAGGCCCCUGCCACGCACAUUUCAUCGUUCAUCACUUUACUGAAGUAUGAUGGGCAAGCAUUUUUGACAGCAAGUAAUUAGCUGAAUUUUAGCAUUUGCAACUGAAAUGCUGAGUAUUGAACAUAUCUAUAGUUACCUGAGGGCCAGGGUAACCCCCUAGUGGCCAGCCAAUGGGCCAGUUGGUGUCCUUCUGGAGAAGGGUGUACUCCUGCUCAAUCCCAUACCUAUAUUUCAGGCAACAUAAGAGAGGGGGUACAAGAUUAAUUGCCACAUAAAUUAUGUGCAAAGUUAAUUACUUGACUAAUUUCUAUAGAACGGAGCAACUGAUACUGACCAUGGUUCUUCAGACUUGACAUCAGGAUGGCCGAAUAUCCUCGCCGCGUUGUACCGCUUGUUGCUCGGAAUCGGCUCUCCGGUAGGCGCAUAGCAGUCACAGAUGACCUAAAAUUUACCAUAGGUGAAAAAACAGUCUGGCAUUCAUGAACAAAUUCCAAAGCUGAUUCACGCAGACAAAAUAAAAUAACAAUACAAAACUCAUGCCAUAACCUUUGUGUGUAUAUAUAUAUCGUAUUUAUGAAUGAAAAAACAGAGAGGAGGAUCCUGAAUUUACCAGGAUGUUGUUCCCUUUCCUGAACGGGUCCCUGAAGAUGGCUUGGGGUCUUGGCAGAAGCAAAAAACAUGGAGUUCAAAUCAGUUUGACCUCAGGCCCAAGGCACGCAAGCCAAGGCAGGGGUUGAUUGAAGAGUGCAACCAAGAAGAAGUGCCGGAGGAUUAUCCUCAAGAAAAAAGGAAAAAAGGUAGUACCGGAGGAUGACUUCGCUGUCGUCGCCCGUGGCUUGGCCGGUGCUGGAGCCGUCGAAAUUCCACUUUGGAAGCUUGCUGGGGUCGUCCACGGGUCCGGGAAGCGUCUGAUUUGUGAACGUCCAAGGGAUCCAAAGGGGCAGAAAAAGUGUUAGGAACUUGCUACUACUACUUGCAAUGUAUUUUUUUAGAGUGAUGGUGAUUCUCUUUAGGGUAAGGAUUAAAUGGAUGAUUAUGAGGGUGGGAGGAACUCGGCCUACCCUGGCUUUGCUCCUGACGUCCAUCCCGGUGCCGCCGACCCUGAGUUAGGCAAAGCGUAAAUGUGAGCAGAUUUUUCUUGUUUUUGUUCUGAGGGAGUAAAUGUGCGCAGAUUAGUAAUGGCUUUUUUCUUCCUCUUUUGGAAAAUGGAUGCUGAUCGGUGCUAUUGCUUCUGUAACUUAUCAUCAAGACGUGAAGAAGGUGAAGACAGGGGUUUUUACUUGGCUCAAAUCUGAGAAACCCAACCAGAAGGAAAUUUCAGAUGGGAUUUGUGGGGAGGAGGAAUAAUCUGUGGCAUGCCUAACUCGGGAUAAGAACUAGAGAUUUCAAGAAGCGGAAAAGAAAAGGAUGAAGUGGAUUUUGGUGUGAACUGUGAAGGAAGGUGAGAUGGGAGGUUGGGACAGUGGUGAGGGAGGCGGAGGAAGAGGAAGCCGAGCGGUGUUACCAUAUGUACUCGGCGAUGAUCUUGCCGGUGCAGCCGGACAGGUCGAGGCUGAGAAGGUCGGCGAGCCGAGACAUGGCGAGCUACCCCUCCUCCUCCUCCUUCUUCUUCUUCUUCUUCUUCUUCUUCCUCCUCCUCUUCUUCUUCUUCUUCCCCGGAGACGGAGCCUGAGCCGGAGAGGGAGGGGGAGAGCAGGCGGAGGAGGAGGGAGAGGUGUUCUUGUGGGAGGCAAAUGGUGGCUAGCUCUCUUGGAAAUGCGGGGGGAGGAGGAGGGGCGAGUGGGGGUGGUGUCGCCGUAGCUGGCUCUGCCCCUCUAUAAGUAGGUAGGAAGGGAGCAGGGUGGUGACGGGGCCCCCGAAAGGUUGGUGGGCGUUGCGGCCGGGCUGCGUACGUACGGCUGUCCCUCCGCGCGUACGUUUCCGCGGCCCGCGCGCACGCAACGCCUUUUCCACUGCACCACUGCACCGGACGCGAGCGCACUCGACCGGUCGGGUUUCCUCCCUGUCAUGUGAUGUGAUGUGAUGUGAUGAUCCCGAUCCCAUGCGUACGCACGACCGCGCUUCGCCGAUCCGCGCACCACCCACCUGUUUCUUUUUAACACGCUACGUAUGCAAGAGUUAAUGUACACGCGUAUAUAUUCUUCGUUGCAAACGCGCACGUACACAUCCUAUUUUUACGAGCAUUUAAGAAAAACUGAAUCAACAUUCUUUUUUUUGUUUGCGGGGUAACUGAAUCAACAUUCUAUUUUAAGUUUUGUUAAGUUAUCGUAGACGGCUCGUCGUCGAUGAAAACGUCUUUUUUCAUUAAUAAAAGAACUAAAUAACACACUACAUAUGCAAGAGUUAAUAUACACGCGUAUAUAUUCGUCCUUGCAAACGCAUACGUACAUAUUGUAUUCCUAUGAGUAUCUAAAAAAAAACUGAAUCAACAUAUCAUUUUGAGAUUUACGAAUUUAUCGUAGACGACUCGUUGUUGAUGACAACAUCUUCUUUCAUAAUACUUCCUUUGUCAUAGUUUAUAAGGCAUGCACGUGUAUCUAGGUCGUCAAUUUGACCAACUUAAUGCGAGACAUAUAUUACGAAAAAUAUAUCAUUAGAAACUUUAGAUGUUCUAUUUUUUAAUGAUAUUAUUUUUAUGUUAAAUAAUAUAUUUUAUAUAAGUCAAAUUGACGACCUAGAUACACNNNNNNNNNNAAUGUUAAAAUAAAUUCAGUAAUAAUGCAAGCAUCAAGACAUGGCCCCAUCGUGCUCGUGUUCUGCUGUGCGAGAUUACCUAACAAUUAAUUAAAAAAGGUGUCUAUUCCUUCGGUCGGGGAAGGGGAAAUUGGGUACGGGGAAGGGGAAAAGCGAUGGACUUUGAGACGACGACCUUCUUGCUUUGCCUUGCUUAUGCAUGAAGCAGCUGGCUAGUGGUGAAGGACGAAUUGACCUUCUCUUGUCCCGGCGUACGUCCGUGCAGUGCGAAUCCGGGUGGACUACUGGCUCACUGACCCGACGGAUCUUCCCGACCGGUCGAAGCUAGAUGGUGGCAUGACAUGAGUGAGACGUGAGUGACGUGUACUCCGUACUGUAGUACAGUAUGUAGGAAAGCGACUACUGUGUGCUACCUACCUGUUGUGCCUGCCGUGUCACCAUCCCCCUCGUGCCAUCGCUGCCUCGUGGCGGGUCUUCAGGCAUCUCCAAUUCCCUUCAUCCGGCCUAUGUCAAUGCUAUUUCUUAGCAGCAUUUUGCUGACGUGACAUGCUAGUUAAUUAAAAAAAAAAGUUGUAUGUUAGUAACAUAUAACCCUUGCAUAUGGAUAUAGGUAAAAAAUGAUUCUAGCCCAAUCAUAUGCAUGCGUUACCCUAAAUUAUUAAAUGUAGAUGGAACUCAUAAGAAACAAUGCAUUGACAUGGUUGUAUCUUGAUUUAUUAAUGCUCAUAUGAUAACGUGAUAAGGGACGAUGCGUUGACACAUGCCUCAAAACGCCGCCACAUGUCUAGAGCCCGGAUGUUUUUUGUCAUUCAAUCUUAUGCAUCAAAUGCUGGAGAAGGUUUGCGGACAUCGAGACAACUGCCACGUAGGCGUCAGACACUUUGGGUUCCUACAAAAAAUCUACCAGGAGCCCUUUUUUUCUCGCUUCGCUCCUCCGCCCUCCGCGUAAACCGAUCGCCAUAGUUGCGGUGCGAGGAUAAGAAGUCUGUGAUGUCAUUUUAAAUCUGUGAUGUCAAAUACAUGUAUUUUCAUUAAAUUUAUAAACAAAUAUACAUGAUUUUUACUUGUGUACAAAGAAUUCGUCAAAAAUCUGUGUGGUCAGUUGACCACAUUCCUCUCAACGCGGCUUCGCCACUGGAUCGUCAUCGACGUUGCCUAGUCCUUGCCGAACAUCCGCCGCUUUACCCAGGCGCCAGCCCCGACUUGCCUACACCCCCUCCACCUCUGGCUUGGCCACCGCACAGGUAACGCCCGCAUGUGAACGUUGUUGUCCAUGAUGGACACCACGCCCGACAAGUGUCCGGCUAAAUGUCAUUACCAAAUUUAUUGAUAUUUUUGUUGUUUAGUUUGGAGCAAACACGAUGAAUUUGGUCGUAGAGUACUUCGACGCCGAGUUCAUGGAAUCAGCCUCGUCGGAUAUGACGAUUUCGAGGAUGAAACGACGAUGAUGCAAGCGGUUAUUGAAUAUGCGUAACAUGCAGUGGAUCAUGCACUCAAUUUCAAGGGAUCGGUCAAGGGACAUCAAUUGUUGAAUCGACAUAGGGCACGGGGCAUAUGAUGCCGAUGAACGACUAUUUUUGUCCCUAAUGAGCUAUUUGAGACAUUUUCCACCGUCUAUUCCGAAUGAGCUGAACUGUGUUCGACUGCCUAUAUAAUGAUGUAUGUGCCUAUGAUGACCACAUCAUCUUCAAGAAGGAUGCCAUUGGAAACAGUGGAUUCUCUAGUUACUAAAAGUGCAAUUGCAUUGAGGAUGCUUGUCUAUGGCACGCCAUGAGAUUCGUGGGACAAGUACCUCCGGAUGUUAGAAACCACAUGUCUUGAUUCCAUGGCCAGGUUUGCUACUGCCAGGACAAGGUGUUUGGUCACGAGUACUUGAGAGAGUCAACUGCUGAAGACACCGCACUCGGCUCAUGAGACUAUCGAAAGGAAGAGGAUGGCGAGGUAUGCUCGGAUCCCUAGAUUGCAUGCAUUGGCAAUGGAAGACUCACCCAUAUGAUCUGCAAGGGCAAUACUAGGGACAUUGCAAGAAGUCCACAUGACUCUUGAAGUAGUUGCAUCACAAGUCAUCUGGAUUUGGCACUCUUUCUUUGGGAUGUCUGUGUCUCACAAUGACAUCAAUCAGCUGCAGCGGUCUCUAUUAUUUGCAAGGUUGUUUGCGAGAGAACCUCCUCUAUGUAACUAUACCAUCAAUGGUUAUGAUUACAACAUGGACUACUAUUUUUGGGAUGGUAUUUAUCCUUUGUGUGUAUCCUUCAUCAAGACCAUCUCUGAUCCAAAGGGUGAGAAAAUAUCUCACUUUUUUCCAAAAACAAUAAGGAGAUGGAAAGGAUGUCGAGAGGGCAUUUGGAGUGUCCCAAGCCCGUAUGCAGUUGUUCGAGGACAUGUAAAAAUAUGGGAUCCAUAUACGUUACGGGAGGUGAUUAAAACUUGUGUAAUCAUGCACAACAUGACUGUAGAGGACCAGGAUGGCGGAGUUUGCCACGGUUUGGAAUUUGAGCCCAUGGGUGAUCCUAUCCAACUUCCAAAGCAAAAACCGAUGAUGUUUGAGGAUUUUAUCAAAAUGCAUCAACAAAUUCACCAUCAAGCAACUCAUGAGCAGGUUUGAAAUUAUUUGGUUGAACAUUUGUGGGUGCUUCGAGGGGAGAACUAAUAAUGUGUCCAAAUAAGUUCAAUUCACAUUUGAAUCACUUUAUUGAAUUUUUUUAUGCUUGGAUUGUAAUACUUAUAUUUGAAUUAUUAUUGCAUUUGAAUGUUUGCACAACAUGACUAUGGAUGAAGGAUGAAGUGGUAUGGAUAAAAAAAGAGUCACACUUGGUGCAUAGGUUGAAUGGCCGCCCUUAUCUCCUAUCCGCGGACACGUCCGGAUCCGUUCACGAAUAUUUGGGAUGUCCGUUUUGAUGAGCAACAUUGGAGAUGCCUUUAGCUCGGUCGGUUGAUAAGAUUUCUUCAAAUAAGAGAAAGAUGAAAAGUAAAAUAAUACCCCCUCUAUUUCAUUUUUUGAAGCUUUAGCUUUGUCCCAAGUCAAACUUCUAUAAUCUUUGACCAACUUUAUAAAAAGAAUUGCUAAUACCUACGCCAUCAAAUAUACAUAGUAUAAAAAUAUAUCUUAUGAUGGAUCUAAUGAAGCUAUUUUGGUAUUGUAGAUACUUGUAUAUUUCCCUAUAAGUUCGGUCAAACUUAAGGAGGAUUGACAUAGGAAAAACCUAGAACUUCAAACAUUUUUAAACCGAGGGAGUUAGAUGCACUAACCACUCUAACAAUUAUGAGUUUUCUACAAAGUCUCACCUAAUACUUAGAACUCUAAGAAAAUGGACAAAAUCCUAAGGAAUAUAGCAUCUAAAUGAAUACAUAGGAAACUAUCCGUGUGUGAAAUAUCUACAAGGGUACUUAAACAAUCCUCCUAACCGAAUGAGCAGUUUUAGAUGAUAUUUUAUCUCAAUUUUAAACCUCUAUAGAAACACCUACUCUGAAUCUCCCUCUUUCCAGUUUAUGUGUAGCUUUGCAAAUAUGAACCCCAUUUCAACUCUAAUUUUAUAUCAUAAACAUUCACUUUCUAUGUUUCUACCACAUAUUAUUCAACAACAUUUUCAUAGUUAUAAAUGUUCAAAUUCAAAAUCACAUGAAAGUUAUGUUAUAAAUGAGCCGAAAUAAGCGUCACAUCAUAUCAAAUAGUUUGUCAUUACGCCAAAUAAUUGAUCGUGUGAUCAAACAUCAUCUGAAUGAAAAGCUCAUGAAAAAGGAAAUUCCAUUUAUAUUUCUCAAACACAAUGAGCAUCACACACCACCACCGCCAUUGCUACUCACCAAAGUCUGAACUCCUCCAAAGUUUUUUAUUAUACCUCCUACACAUACUUAUUAAUUUUGGUGCAAUUAAGGUCAUGCCAACUACCAAUUUCUACCCAACUCUCCAAAAAUAUAUAAGUGAAGCAUAAAGAGUUUAAAAUAUUUCUUUUUGGACUACAUGCUCUAAAAUACAUAAGUAAAGCAAUAGAGAAAUUAUGAUGACGCUAGAUAAGCUCUCCCAGGUAAUGGUGCUCUGGUGUGGUGAUUACAAUGAUUAAUAAUCGAAAUAAACAUACGCUCCUAGAACAACACAUAAUUGUAAAAGAGCAAAAAUGUAGGUCCAACCGAUAUAAAUUGAUACUUAUUCAAAAGGGGUAUGCCUCGGGCAUCCCCAAGCUUACCAGCUUGUGAUCUCUUGAAAUAUUUCUUGUGUGUGCCUUGGGCAUCCCCAAGCUUGAGCGGUUGCAUCUCCUGAUUUCUCUUAUAUCCACACAAAACUUAUCUAUAAUUCGUGAGAUAGGUUAGUAUGAAGAACACCUCAAUCUGAUUAUGCCUUCUUAUAGACUAAUUAUAAAGUUGCAACCCAUCAUUAGCAACUGUAUUAUAACACAAUCUUAGAAUCUCACACCCCUAUGGGAACAAUAAAAUGCAAACAUAAGUAACUAAAGAUAAUCAUUAAAAAAAUAUGUCUAAAACAAGUAGUAUGUAAAUAUGAAAAGUUCAAUCCACACUUUUGUAAAUAAUAAAAUUCCAAUAAAUCAACACGUAGCAUAUAAUUAAUAUAGGUAUUGUGCAAUUUUUCUUGUGCUUUCAGCAUGCUCUAUUAAUUCUCUAUGAAAUAAAAAACAACAAUCAAACUUUCUAUUUUAGCACAACAACACGUACAGUGUUAAUCUUAACAUGCUAAAGGUAAUUAUGGGCUUUUAUUAAAGAAGAUUAAAAUAAAAAGGUUGUUACAUAAGGUUAAAACUGUAUUGAAAAAUACUAUAUGUUUUUCCCCGUAAGCACUUUAUUUACAACCAUGUUAGUUAGGCUUGCAGUUUUAAUGUUGCUCACAUGAACGCAUGAAUUGUAGCAUAUAACAGAGUGCAAAAUAGCUUAUAUCAAACACAUUUAAGUUUGACCCACUUCUUAUGCAUAAGCAUCUAAUAAGUAAACAAUUUAGUGAGACAAAAGAUCCCUAGCAUUGGCAAGAUAUAGGAAUGCCAAUUCAAAUAUUUCAACAUAAAGAGAGGUGAUUUAGUAACAUGAAUAUUUAUAUUACCCUAUUUUUGUAUAUCAUAAUAAUUACAUGUGGGAUCAUGAUCAAAUUCAACAAUAUAGCUAUCACCUAAGAAAGUUUCCUCAUGAUCCACAUGCACAUAUAUUUUAUCCCUCCAAAACACUGGAGUCAACAGUAACUAAAGUCAUGACCUCUCUAAACAAACUUUUGUCAAUAUUGCAAUAAGAUUGAAAAUUAUUCAAAAUAAGGGGAACAUUACUACCUAUAUGCAUGACCUCUCCAAACCCACAUUCAAAACACCGUAAUCAUUGUGAUCAAAUAAAUAAAUAAAUAUGUUCUUAUUAGUCAUAAAUAAUUCUUCAAUGCCAUAAUAAGUAUCACAUUUAUCUUCCAAAUCAUGAUCAUUGUGAUAGAUAUACCACACUCAUCAUCAAUAGUGACAAUUGACAUAAUUUCAUUAGUUUCGGCAAUAAUUUCAUCAAGUGUGUCACUAAUGUGAGUAACCUGAUCUAAAAUAAUAUCAUUGAAUCGUAUGCAUAGAAAAAUGAAGUUUCAUUUAUUGCGGUGUCAAAAUAGGUGUAAUAUGUAUAUGUGCAAAUAGAAAAAAAAUGAAACGAUGAGUACAGAUCGAAACUCAAGGGCUAAAAAAACGCGCGCGCGCGCGUGUGUGUGUUGGGGGGGGGCGCUCAACUGGCCUAUCGAGAGUUUUAUUUGAGUGUCCGUGUUAGAUAUAAGCUUAAAAGAGUUGGAUCAAAUCUUAUCUAAAAUUUCGCGUUUCCUGCUAAAAGGAGGGAAUAAUUUACUUGCUUGUAUUAAUAAAGCGAGAGUUAAAUGUAAGUUUCAUUGUUGAAGAAGUUUCAUGGUGACGUCAUUCUCUAGCGAGUUUGUUUAGCCCAUAAAUCACCAUGCUUGAAGAAGUUUCAUGGUUACAAAGUAUCAUGAUGACAUCAUUCUCUAGCGAGUUCAUUGAAUCAUACCCAAGUGUAAGGACAACAUGCCUUGACCUAAUAUUUACGAAAUCUAGGUGGGGGCCUUCCCCUCCAAUGUGAUCAUUAAAAGAUAUACAUACCCUGUUGGUAAGGAAAGUAAGUAAUAAUGCUCAUUCCUAUCAAGUUGUUUCUUCAGACACCAAUAAUAAAGUUUCUAAUUUUGUUUUUAGUGUCUUCAUCUAAUAAAACUCUCAAUUAAUAUAAUCAAUUUUUUCCUGCAAGAUCUUCAUCUAACAUCACAUACUUUUCAGCCUCUAGCUAUCCUACUUGCUUUACCUUAUCUAUCUCUUGCCUACAUUGUCUCUUCCGCCACCCACCCCUUGUCAUGUUUUUAUUUUGGUGGAUAUGAUAACCAUGAAUGGAUCAUGACUUGUAUCUAGACUAUCCACCAACUUUGGUACAUCCAUCCAUCCUAAUACCUAACAUUUCUCAUCACCCUUGUCUCUACGACGCCGCUUACCUUGUCGGCAUUGAGUCUGGCUCCAGCUCAUAGCACAACCAGACAACAAAAGCAAGGAUGUAGAAGAAAAGACUAUCAUGAGGAGAAAGAUAUUUGUAAGCAUGCAAAACGACCCACCGAUCAUUCUCAAAUACAUUUUUUCCACCAGGAAUAUUAAGUUUAAGUUUGUAUAGCACCCCACGAUAGGAUCUAGUAGCAUAGCUCAAAUGGCUAGGUUCCUUGUGGUGGAACCAACCCAUGAAGGCUCAAGUUCUAUACUUUGCAUUAGUGCUUACAUUUUUCUGGAUUAGUUCCAGACUUUCCGCCGAUGUUCAUUCAUUGGGAAGUGACAUUCCCGUCGACUAUGACUCACCUGUGGUAACUUCCUUAGUCUCAAGACAUUGUGUUUGCUCAGUAUCUCAGAGGUUCUCAUAGGGGUAGGGUGUGCGUGCAUGCAUUCAUAAGGGUGAGUGCAUGUGCAUGUAUGUGAGCAUCUACUAUUGAUCAUGUUAAGCAAACAUAUGUAUGUAUUGAUACAAAACAUACAUACACUAUUCCAAUACUCCUCUACCUGGAAAUAUAAGAAAUAUUGAAUACUAGAGGACACCUCGUGUGUUAUUGUGGGACUUGGUUGAUGAAAAUUUGGAUCGAUAACAUGAGAGAAACAAAUAAAAGUACAUAAGACUUAUUAUAUUUGAUUGUGUAUAGUUGUACUCAAUUCUAUCCAUAUUAGUUCUUGUUGAAACUAAUGUAUCUAGAUGUAUUUCAGUGCUAGAUACAUCCUUUUAAGCGACAACUAAUUUGGAUUGGAGGGAGUAACAAUAUUUAUUGAAUAUAAGUAGAAUAUAAUUAAGCAAAGAACAUUUUCUCAUGCAUAUGUUGUGGUGGGUCUUUUCUCAUGUAUGAUUGCAUGCUGAGGUGGGCCUGAUCCCAUUCAUAAUUGUAUAGUGAGGUUGCAUAUUUGCAUGUUGAGAUAAAUAAGUUAGUGGGGGUGACUCUCUUAGGUACAUAGCGUUUCAUGUUCUCCAAAGCACAAAUUUUACUAUAGGUUUUCUCAUAGGUGGGCCAAAUAAUAUAUAACAUACAUUAGAUUCACAAGACAAAUAUAUUGAUAUUAUUUUUUCAUCCUCAAACCACAUGUUACGAUCUUUGGAAAUUUGUUCUAGACUCAUAGCGUAAGCGACAUGAUGACCCUAUAUAUCUGAUUGCAUGUAAUGUUGUGGUGGAUAUGAUACUGUUUUUACUGAGAGAGAUAAAUAUGAUGGAUGGUGUUAUUCCUCAGUUAGUCGACAUAGGUGUAUCUUUUGUUUCACAAUUUACAAAUUACAUCAUGCUCAUUUUGGUGUACGACAUGGAAUCCUUAGUCUACAAUUUUUUUAAAAUUGAUAUGCUAUGCUUAUGAGCCACUACCUUCAUUGAAAAACAAAUUACACGGAAGUAAGAUGUAAUGUGUUGGCAUGACUAAGGAAGUUAAAGUCCGAUAUGCACAACUCUUUGGCUCUACUAUUAGUGAAUUCCCUUUGCGUGUCUUUCCAUCUCAUUCAUUAUAGGAAGUUACGAAACAAAAACUAGAAAGCCACGAAAUAUAUAAUAGAUAGGAUAAUUGAGGAGUUGGAAAGGUAUGCACUUAUCCCAUUGGGGGAGACUUGUGCCUAUCAAUUUAGUUAUCACGAGUAUGCCUAUGUUCCCACUUUCCCAUUUUGAAGUGCUACUAGGAGUCCAUAAGCACCUAGACAUUUUUGCUCUAGGUUCUUAAAUAAUCAUAAAAAAUAGACUUGUCAAAUAGGUUAUCAUGUCAAUCUCCAAAGAAUAACGAUGACUCCAUAUUCAUAAUUUAGAGGAGAAUGAGGGUUUAUUGAUAAAAUGGAUCUUUAAGAACGAGGGUGGGUGUUGUAGGACUUUCUCAAAAACAAAUGCUUAUGAGGUAAACCUUUAUUGGGGAAGUCUAGUGUUUGGCAUUUUGGGGAUGGGUGCGUGGAAGUACAAUAAUUGUUGGUACUAUUUAGUUCAUUUCGGGCUAACUGUCUUUGUGUGUGUGUGUGUGUGUGUGCGACCGGGGGGGGUAUUCAGUUUUGGAACACAACCCACUAGGAUAUCAUACAUUCAAGUACCAUUUCCUAGUAUUUUUAAUGUGGCUUUGGUGUAUACGCUCUUGAAUAGCACAUGCCCUAGGUGACGCACAUCUCUUUCCAACAAUCUAUUGGUGGGUCAAAAGUGUGAAAUCUGUCACAUGAGAAGUUUGUUUCUUUGCAUAUUAAUAUAGAUCUUAAUGUCUGAAAAUGUCUUUAAAUGUGGCAUCCAUCAAUCUAGAACAUUUUGAGUUAGCUCUCUAUUUAUAUGGAUUUGGUUACAUCAUGUUUUCAUGUCAUGGUAGAUACAAUUGGGAAUUAUGGAUGCCUUUGAAGGUUAAGAUUUUCUUCUAGUACCGGUCCGAAGGUGAUUUAUUAUGAGAAGUAACCUAACAAUCGAAUUGGAAUGAUAGUAACCUUUAUGUAUUUGUAAUGAGGAGGGAUGCAAUUCAACACAUUUUUCUUGAAUUUAAUUUUGUACAUUUAUAUGAUGAAGAGAUAUCAUUAAAAGUUCAAUGAACCAUGUGCCAGGUCAUGUAUAUAUAUAUUGAGAAUCAACCACUAUAUAGGAUCCCACAUGCUGUACACACAUUUUGUUGUUGUAGGUUUGGUGCACAUAGGUUUGUCAUAAUGACAUUUGAAAGAAGUAGACGACCCAUAAGCAUUAUACCUUCACAUGAAAUUAUUCUAACAGUGUUCCCGCCAUUGCGGGAAAUUACCCAUUGAUAGCCUUUGUAGGAGUUUGAGACGUGUCUUAGUGCUAGCGUGUCUUACCGUCCUCUUACAUCAGCCACUAUUGAUCACGUUGGUAAGCUAUUGCCUCACCAACUAGCUAGUUUCCAAAAUGAUCAUUUUGGUUCUAGACCAACUAAUCUUCGAGGUGCAAAUUAGGGAAUCAUGAUUCCUUGCUACUUCUGAUAGCUCUUGAAGGUUAUGCAGACGCAUUAGCAAAUUCUUAAUGUAUGAUUGAGAUUAGCAAUGGGAUUCUUUGCUACUUCUGAUAGCCUUCCCGUCUGUGAUGAACCUUUUUGAAACUUGCAUGUGAACCCUUAUGACACAUGUAUCUCCUAAAUGACAACCACUAAGUUGUUUUCCAAACUCUUAUGAGUUGACCCUAACACAUGAUCUCACAACACACUAACACUGACACCAUGCACAACAUUGGUUGUUUGUUUGGUUGUAUUGUAUGGUUGUUGACGAAUGCUCUUUACUUACAAUAGAUUGUUACGGAGAGCGAAGUGUGUUGAUCAAGAAUCGUCAAUACACACAAGUGUAACCUUUGAUCAUAACCUAUGUUUUCUUCCAAUUCAGUUUAUUAUCAACUAGGAAUCCCUUAUAGGAUUUUACUUUAUGCUUGUUAGAACCCAGUAAAUUGUUUAGGUCCAUUUCACCGUGACCUUGUAACCCACGAUUAGUUGCUUAGCUGCUUUAACGUGGAUUGGAAACAUCAACUACUAUUACACCAUACAACCGCAUGGUUGAGUAAUGAACUACUACUUUAAUUAAUGAAUCGAUAUGGGUGGACUGGAUUUGGUUGGGUCAUCACAGUGUUGUAUUUGGUGAGAAAUUCCACCCAUGUAUAAGGGAUUGUACGGGUUUAUAAGUUGAUUAGCUUCCAUGUGUAACGGUGAGACAAUUUGGGCUCUGUCGUGACCAAGUAGGUUGUGGGAACCCUCGUGUGACAGACCAAUAGAUGUAUGUAUUGCAUUGUAGGUUGGACCGGGUCUGUCAUUUUUGAGAGGGCGACUACUUCUAAAAAUUCUUAUCUUGAUCUACCUAGCUACUUCACAAAUGAAGUUUAGUCGCAGAAGGGUGUGAUCGGGCAUCACACAUAAAGUACACAAACCACUAGAGAGUGUAUAAAACUGACCAUGAUUAGUCGUGUCCCCGGGUGGAUAACUUUGAGCAACUCACCUGGGAACUAUCAGCUUGAUCUCAUUCACCUCUUCCAUUAAAAUCAAUGGGUUGAACGAAUGGGGAGUUAUGGCGCUGUUCCUUAGAGGAAUAGGAGUGAACUAGGGUAUUUGGAGGGAAGCUUGGGGAUGAAAUGCGAUGCAGAGACCCACACACUCAAAUGUUAUACUUAGGGCUACUGUGUGAUAUGGUAUGUCCAGGAUUACCGUGUGAUACGAUAUAUCCAACUAUUAUAGUAGACCAUAUUUCAAGAUAGGGAAAACUAAAGGAAAACUGAUGACACGAACUUGCAUGUUUAUGUUCCAACAAGCCAAUCCUAGUGAAGUUUGCCAAUACAUCCAAUGUAUUGACCCUUCCGGCUCCAACAUAUCAUGUUGUAGAUUACCAUGAUGAAGGGAAGUUACGGAGUAGGGUUGCGACGGUAUACUCAACUCUUGCGUAUGAGUUGAUGGAUACCACAAGACUAGAUAUUAUUCCACUCCAUGAUUGUCAUGUAAUAUAGCCAUGAGCUAAGCGGGUGUGUAUUGUAAAGCACUGGAUCUUCGAUGUAAAUACUACUCCUUCCACCCGGAAUUACUUGUGACAAAAAUGGAUCUAAAUGGAUGUAUCUAAAACUAAGAUACAUCUAGAUACAUCCAUUCGUAUGUCAAGUAUUUUCGGAUGAAGGGAGUAUUACAUUUGAUGUAUUCUUGGUAUUUCAUUGUCGAUUUUGCAUGUCAGCUAUUGAUCCAGGGACUAACACAGUAAGCAUAGAGAUUCGGGGCCCUGUCACGGACCAGGUCACGAGACCAAUCCUCAACAUAUGGGUGCUACCAAAGUUGCAUGAACUCUCAUGAGAGGAGAUUGACCUAGCAAACUAUAUUUGGAGUGCCACUAGCCUAAUUGCUAUUUUGUGAAGCUAUCUUGAUGUCAUGAUGAGGGCACCCUCAUUGCCAGAGUUUUUAUCCGCAAGCUAUAAAAGCUAGGGUUUGCUAUCCCGCUGAUUCCUACUGACCUAGAGUUUUUCCUUCACCGGUCAUCAUCUCCCCUACCCCGAGACAAACCUCCUUAUUAUGUUGACUAAGGGAGUGUUCUUGCACACCUUAUCGACUAAUGUAGAGGUUGUGAUCCUGGCUUUAGGUACCGGGAAACUUUUUGCGAUCUAGACAACAAUGACAAUUCUCAGCUAGAAUUUAUGCGGUCUCCCACAUGCUGCGACAAUGAGGGCGCUUCUGAAUGUUCAAAAGUGUAAGAAUGCCGACAUCAUGUUCUUCUUGGAAACUCACUUAGAAGAGUAUCCUACUGAAUGUUUACGUCAUAGGUUAAAGAUGGACCACAAGAUAGUUGUCCGGAAUAGUUGUUUGAUUUUGUUGUGGGAAAGGAGGUCUCAUCUCUCUUUGACACAAGACCGAAAAUUGUAUUGAUGAUUUUGUUGAAACUAAGCAAGAGAAGUUUUGGAGGAUCAUUGUAUUCUAUGGGGAGCCCAAGUGGGAGAAUAAACAUCUAACUUGGAGUAGGCUCACAUAUUCAAAAACCUUUUGCAACAUGCCCUAGAAGGUUAUUGUCGAUCUUAAUGAGAUCUUAUAUUCUUUCUAAAAGGAGGGCGGUAAUGAUCGACCGAUUCAUUUCAUGGAAGCUUUCGAGGAUGCUUUGAAGCAAUGUAACCUAUCAGGCCAUGGAUUUGUUUGGCAAAUUCAUGGGUCAUGGGGGUUUGAUUAGGGAAAGGCUUGAUGUGGGCAUUAACCAAUGAAGGUUGAAACUUAAUGUUCCCUAGUGCAAAACCGAAACAUCCAGAUUAUUAUCAUUCUUAUUAUAGAUUUUUGCUAAUAAUUUUGGAGGAAGAAUAAGCCCAUGACACAUGAGGGUUGGCAAUCAUUCAUUUUGAGGCCCGGUGGCUGAGAGAGUCCCAAUUCCUAGAUGUAGUUGAGGAAGAAUGAUAUGCUUCGAAACCAUUCGUUCAAAAUACCAAUUUUACAGGAAGGUUAGUGCUCAUUCAUGAACACCCACAUCAAAGGAAUAAAACAAGACUCAAUAAAUCAUCAAAGAAAAUGAAGAAUGUCUAGAGAGAUCUUGAAAGGGUUACACGAUAUGUGAUACUGAUACUUGUAAACCGCGUUGGGAUUCCCCCAAAGAGCAGGGGGUGAUGCAUCAUACUAGAUGUAAGUAUUUCCCUCAACGAGAACAAAGGUUAUGGAACCAAUAGGAGGACCACAAAAAUUCCCGUCUUCAACACCUACACACAAAAGAGCACACACUUGCACCCAACGUGGGCAAGAGGGUUGGCAAUCCUCUUGUCUUGGGAGAAAGAGUGUGCUCUUUUGUGAAGUGAUCAGGGCGAGAGGCCGUGGGAGGUGGCCCCAAUCCGUCAGGGCUUGGCGCCACUCCGUGUGGCCUCCGUUCUCCCUAUGAAGCUUCCAGGUCUUAGUUAUGUCUAGAAAAAAUCAUCAAAAGGUUUCGUGGUAUUUGGACUUUAUUUAGUACGGUAUUCGUGAAAGGCCAAAAAACAUACAGAUAACAUCAACUGGCACUAUGCACUGGGUUAAUAAGUUAGUGCUCAAAAUAAUAUAAAACAUCAAGUAAAUUCUUAAAAAGUAUCUUGGAAUGAUAAUAUAAUAGCAUGGAACAAUCAAAAUUAUAGGUACGUUGGAGACGUAUAAGCAUCCCCAAGGUUAAUUACUGCUCGUCCUUGAGUAGGUAAAUGAUAAAAACAGUUUUUUUAUGUGACAUGCUACCUAACAUGUAAUAUUUUUUAGGUAUGAUUAUUGAGAAAUGAUGAAUCAACAAACAUCAACAUAGUAAUAUCCAUAAAUCGGAGUGUUGUUUACAUUGUUAGUUACUUGCCCCUUUGCAUGUGUUGGUUUUGCUCCUUGCAUGUGUUUGUAUAUGUUGUUCUUUCAACUUGCUUAUCUUGAGUAAUUAAGUGUGUGUAUCUUGGUUGGCACAUCAUGUACAUGUUAGUCGUGUGUUGAGCCUUUUUGCAUUUUUUUGUAUCUUAGUUCACUCUUCUGAGAGAUUAAUGGAUUAUCCCAUUUUGGGGGAGUGGUGUUCUUUGUGCACUUCACGAUCCUAAAAAUGUGCGUACAUGAGGAAUGCCACUUAGUAUUGAUAUUACAAGAUUAUCUAGCUUCAAUGUGGUAUGUCUUCUGAUGAGAAAUUCAAAUUCUAAAUGGUCCACUAAUUAUCUCUUGUUGGAUUUCACUUGCCACUUGUGAAGAAUUUUGGGUUAUCACAUUAUGGGGGAGUAAUAUGCUAUGUGCAUAUUACAAGCCUAGAAAAUGUGUAAUUUGAGGAAUUGCCACUUCGAGUUUUUAUUGUAAAUUAUCUUGUUCCUAGGUGGCAUGUUAGCUCUACAAGUGUCAUUGGAUUAUGAUUUUCAUGUGAAGAUGAUGUUGGAUAUAUUUGCAAUCUACCAAUGGAAUUUCUUCCAAAUACUUCUUGUCCUUUGACAAUUGGUAUUGUUUUAUGUGGUAGAAAUUGCUAAUCAUCUUUACAUUGGAUUUUGUCUAUCCGUUUGUCUUCCUUGCAUCUUGAGGAUCUUUUUGAGAAUGUCUGGUGUUUCUAAAGAUAUAGGGAAAGUGAUGAUCCCGUAUUGUGCAUUAUGUAUUCAAAUGCAAAUCCUAUAUAAUGCACAUAUCUUGGGGAGCUAUCCUAUCUUAUUAAGAACACUCUCUUAAUUCGUUUAUCAUGAAAUCUUUUGAUCCCUAUCAAGUGCAUGUUGGUGGAAGGCAGCCAUUUUCUUUAUGGUGCUUCGUGCCAUCAUGAAAAUUUGCCGAGGGUUUGGUAUGUUUGGAGCCUAUCUCUCUUUUGGGAACUUGAUACCCCCUUUUUGUUUUCCUUCAAUUGGUAUCUUGUUUCCUUUUCUUUGGCAUGUGUCACUGAAUAUCUCAUUUCUUGAUGUAUCUUUUAAUUGGUAUCCUUCAAGUGAUAACUUUUUGUUUGAUAUCUUAUUUUCACUUAAUACCUUGUCUUUUGGUAUCUUAUCAACUAUGUGCCGAUUUGAUUCUUGAAAGCCUUGAACAUGCAUAUUUACUAUAUCUACUUUCUUUGGCAUGCUUUCUUUCUUUGACCCAAUACAUAGGGGAAACUACACCAUGUCAUAAACUUGCUAAAGUGUGCAUGAAAUUCAAUUUCAUAUCUAUAUGCACAUAUUUAUAUGGAGUUUGUCCUAUGUAUUAUUGGUUCUCUAACUCUUUGGUCCCAAUGAGUUUGGGUACCAAUUUGUUUGUGUUGUUGUUCUAGGAACAAUUGGAGAUGCAUCGGAUGCUUGACUCACUUACAAGGAAGGUGUUGACACCAUGUGCUUAGUGGAGCCAAGCUAGGAUGACCGAUGAACCAUUAUCUACAACAUCAAUCCAAUGCUAUCUCGGUAACAAGUAUUUACUUCAUGCAUAAAUUUCUUGCUUUCAACCUUUUGUAGGUUGAAUCGUAGCAUGAAUUUCUUGAUUCAUUCUUGUGGUGCUUGUUUACUUUCUCAAAGCAUCUCAACGAUGAUCUAUUGUGGCUAUUUGUGAUGUCUUUGAUGGUUGUGUGUUGGAAGUUCAUUUAUUUGCAAUUAGAAAAUAUUAGUCCAUGUGCUAUGCUUUCAAGCAAAGAUCUUAUUGGUAUGUUUAUGACUUCCUUUUGGAUAUCUUGUUUCCUCCUUCUUGUAACUAUUUCGCGUGUCAUCCUUCUUUGUGGAUGUAUAUCAUCAUGAUUGUCUUCUACCUAGAAUAUCUUACACAUGAGAGAAGUUACAUCUCUAAUUGAUAUCCUCUUUUCUUUCAUGUCCACCAUUGCAUUUCGUUUUUAUUUUCUCGGUGGUUUCGUGAAAGGUUGAGUGCGGAUCUUAUAUCCUUGCAUCUUAAUGCACUCAUCGGUGGUGAAGAUUAUUUUUCCUCACACUUGUCUUGAUGAGGGUUUUCCAUUUCAAUUGGUAUCCCUCCUCUUGACAAGGCUAUUAUUUACUAUCUUCACCAUGUGUUGUCACAAGUUUUUGUUUUUAAUUUGCUUAUUAGUAAGCUUGUGAACCAAUUUUCUAGUAGUGUGUGUGUGUGGGAAGGAUAUGUGUUGUACUUUGUGUCUCAUUUCAUCAAGACUAUGGUGAUGCUUAAUGCACAUCCUUAUAUUAGUCUUCUCAAGUGCUUUGCCAUGACUCACUCACAUCAUUUUUGUUGAGCCUACUCUUAAGUUGCCUCUUCUACAUGUUGUUCAAACAUAUGUUUGGUGCAAGUGCUAUGCAUAUUGUCUUAUCUACUUGAUUGCAUUUGUUGUGUUUUUAUUGAUUUUGGGGGAGUCAUGAUCCUAUUUUGUCCACCUGUAUCCAAAUAUAAAUAUUUAAUAGUGCACAAAUCAUGGGGAGCUUCUCUAGUCUUGAUAAAACACUCCUUGCCGAUAUCAUAAUAUAUUUUAUUCAUGCGACUCGAAGGACCAUGUGAUUGGUUCUUUCAAGUGGUAUCUUUUGAUUGCUUGCUUCACUCUUUGGUAUGUCUGUGUGACAUAUCAUCCUUUUUGCAAUCUUUGGAUCCUCAAUAUAGUUUGUCUUCCUCCAACUAUUUAUCUUUGGAUAUGUGUAUUUCAUUGCACUCAUAUUUUGAGAAACACACACUUUUUAGAGGAACACAUAUUAUAUUCGCUUUCUAAGCUUUUCGUCCAUUUUGGCAAUUGAUGCAAUGGGGGAGAAGUCUAGAGAGUUUAGUUUCGAGAAGUUCAGAGAGUUCUUCUUUUGUUGCUUAAGCAUUUUCAUCUCAUACCCAUGCAUUAUUGCUUUUCAUGUGUGUUCUUGGUUUUGCUUAUUUCCUUAUAUAAUCUCUUUUGAAAGUGAUUGUCAUCCAUUACCAAAAUGGGGGAGAUUUUUAGAGCAUAAUUCUCCAUGCGUGAUUUUGGUAAUUGAUGAGAAUCCCUAUGGAUUAAUGGUUUCCUUGAGUUUUAUUUGAAUGGUUUGUCGAGAGUGCACUUCUUUAAGUCCAUCUGUUGGUUUCAAGGAGUUUAUAUGGUGACCAAGGUGGUAUUCAAGGCUUUAUCCAAGGAUUGGUCUUGUGAGAGUUGAGAUUAUUGCAAGCAUGUCUUGAAGAAGAAGAUUGUGUGAGCAUUCAUGUUUAUCUUCAAGACAUCAUGUUUAUGAAGAGAGACGAUAAGAUACAAUGUUGAUCAAGAAUAAGUCAAUGAGUGAUAAAGUGAUCCCAUGGUAUGGUAAGUAUUGUCCAUUACACUUUGUGUACUAACCCAUGGUCUAUGUGACAGUUCUAUGUGGGGUUAGGUAUAUUUCCAUGGGCUUUCAUCAAGAGGAAGAUCUCAUACAACCCAUGGAGGAUGACAUCAAGUGGCUCACCCAUAGUGGAGUAUCGCAAAGAGAUCAUGUUGGAAGCUUGCCGUCCAUUGUGGUGAUAAUGGACUUGUGAAGAUGUGCGGAAGAGUGGCUCACCCAUAGUGGAGUAUGGGGGAGCAAUCAACUAGUAUUCAUCGAACCAAUGUAGUCAAGAAAGGUGGUCCAUCUUGAGGAAGUCAAGAUCGUCAUAACAUAGCCCAAGUGGACUAUGUGCAAGGUAUAGGUUUUCCCUUGAUAUGUUUUGUAUUUUACGUGUCUCAUGGUGUUAGUAGGGAGACCGGGUUAUAGGAUCAAUAGCCGUACUAUCAAGGGGGACUCUGGAGUGAGUAGCUUGACCAUAUCGUUCGUAGGGAGCUGAAAUCAUUGCAUCGUUGGAAUUAUCAUUUCUUGGUUCUUGUUUGGCUUUUCGCUUUGGGAGUUUUGGAGCUUAUGGUCUUUAACGUGAUAAGCCAAGCUCAUCAAAAAUGGUUUUUGUAUGUGUCAUAUUUGUGUUUUCGGUGUUGGAGAUUUUGCCGAAUAAUUCUUGGGAAGGUCAUCUUCCUUAGCCUAUUGGCAUUUAUUCUCCAUCGCUUGAUAGUACUUGUCGUCAUCUAUCCAACAAGCUUUAGUUUGCUCAUUUCGGAGUUCGAAUGCAAAAGUUAUGGCAGUUUCGGUUUUGCUUGGGCUGAAGUACUGCUUUAAGUGGUAGUAGAGAGCGUUAGUACCUCUCAAGCGGUACUUCUGUUGACCAUUACUGCUUCCACUUCUGCUUAUUUUAUUCUGUUGGUGCCCAAUCUGCUUGAGCGGUAGUAGUGGGGUAGUAGAGAGCGGUAGUAGCUCUCAAGCAGCACUACCUCUCCCGUGAGCGAUAGUACCUCUCAAGUGGUACUACCAGUCCCCCGAGCGGCACUAUCUCUCUAGGAGAACUACCACUCGUGUUGUUCUAUCUUGUUGGGCUGUUUUGACCGUGCUAAGCGGUAGUACCGCUCGGGGGUACUACCGCUUGAGUACGACUUGUGGAAAUACGUGUUGGAAUUUGGGAUGCCUAUUUAAAGGGGCCUUCUUCGCCAAUGGUCCCUAACUCUUGAGCUCGUAUUCUUCCCCCAUUGUUGAACUUCUUCGAGCUUGGUAACUCUCAAUCCCUCCAAUGGUUCUUGCUAGUUCUUGAGGAAAAAGAGAGAGGAGAUCUAGAUCUACGUUUCCACCAAUCACUUUCUUCUCUAUGUGAGGGGAACCCCUUGGAUCUAGAUCUUGGAGUUCUUUUUGAGCUCCUUGUUCUUCCUCUCAUAUUCCUCCAUAGAUUUUGUUGUUGUGGAGGAAUUUGAGUGUGAGGUACUUGACCACUUCAUGUGUUCUUGCCAUUGCAUUAGUUGCAUCGGUUUGAGUUCUCCACAGUGAUACGUGGAAGUGAUGUUUUAGAAGCUUAUUAUUCUUGGGUGCUUUGUACCCUAGAGCUUGUUCACCUUGGGUUUUUUGGUGUCCUAGAAGCUUGGUGGUGCCUCAUAGCUCAAUCAUUGUGGUGUAAAGCUCCGGGAAAGCGUAGGGGGUACCCUAUUAGGUUGUGGAGAUUGCCCCGAGCAAUUUGUACGGGUACCGGUGACUGCCCCCAAGGGUUGCCAUUUGUAUAGGUUCGGUGACCGCCCUCAAGGGUCCCUUAGUGGAAUCACGACAUCUUACAUUGUGCGAGGGCGUGAGAAGAUUACGAUGGCCCUAGUGGCCUCUUGGGGAGCAUUGCGCCUCCACACCGCUCCAAAUGGAUAUUAGCAUCCACAAUGGUGUGAACUUCGGGAUAUAUCAUCGUCUCCGCGUGCCUCUGUUAUCUCUUACUCGGACCCAUUACUUAUACACUUUAAUUUGUGAUAGACAUAUUGUUUCUUGUUAUAUAUCUUACCAUCACUUAGUUAUUUAUCUUGCUUACCAAAAGUAGUUCGUGCACAUAGGUGAACAUAGUUGUUUUAGGUUUUGUUCUUGACUAAUUAAACAUUAGUUUUAUUCCACAUUUGUUCAAGCCUCAACUGUAAUUAUUUUAAAGUGCCUAUUCACCCCCCUCUAGGCGACGUCCAAGUCCUUCCAACAUGUUAUGAUCCGCAUCCCCCAGGUGACAAUAAUUGGGAUUCUUUCCGGUGAUUGAUGUAGUAUGAGGAGUUCAUGUAUUCACUAUGUGUUAAUGCCUUAUUCCAGUUCUCCAUUAAAAUGAGGCCUUAAUAUCCCUUAGUUUCCAUUAGGACCCCGUUGCCAUGGGAGGGUAAGACAAAAGAUGUCAUGCAAGUUCUUAUCGCAAGCACGCAUGACUAUAUACAUAAUGCAUGCCUACAUUAUAUUUAUGAAUUGGAGCUAGUUCUGUCUCGCUCUAGUGUGUAGGUGUGACAUGAUGAAUGUCAUCCAUAUCUAUCCGCUGCCGAUCCACGUGCCUAUGCUUUACAUAUACCGAAUCUUGCUAAGUUACUACUACUGCUGCUACUGUCACAACUGCUACAAAAUUACUACUGUUGUUGUUGCUACAAAAUUGAUGUUAACACUGUUACUGUUACUACUAUUACUUUUUGUGCUACUAAAAUCUUCACUUCAAAGAGAUAUCCCAGGUGUGGUUGAAUUGAGAACUCAAGUACUAAGGCCGAUAAAUAUCCUUUGGAUCCCCUUGUGAUGAAUCAACAAAUGAGGCCGAUAAGUACUACCCGCAAAGACUAUUGCGAUCCCCUACAGUUGUAGGUUAUCAAUAUUAUCUUCCACCAAAUAAACCAACUAGCAUCAACUACAAGAUGUAAUCAACACUACUAGUAACCGAGAGGUACCAAUUUUAGGUUUUGAGACAAAUAUUGGAUACAAGAGAUGAACUAGGGUUUGAGAUGAGAUGGUGCUGGUGAAAAUGUUGAUGAAAAUUGAUCUUCCCAGGAAGGAAGAAGAGUUGGUGAUGACAAUGGCUUCUAUUUUCCCCUCACAGAGGGUAGUUUGUCUAGCAGAAUCACUCUACCGAAGAGCAAAAGGGCCUCUGCCCCGGUUUCCGCCCCAAGAUGGUGGAAAAUCAUCCUUAAAGUAUCUUCUUAUUUUUUAGGUCAAAACCCAUCUUAUAGCAGAAGAGGGAGGCCAGGACACCUAGGAGGUGGUCCCAAGCCAUGAGGGCACGCUUGGGGGAGGGUGCGCCCUGUUGACUUGGCACCAACAGGUGUCCCCCUCUGGUAUAUAUUUUUGCUCCAUAAUUACACAUAUAUUCCACAAAAAUUUGUUGUGAAGUUUCAGGUCAUUUGGAGUCGUGUGAAUUAUUAGCCUUUUUCUUGGUUUCCAGGUCCAGAAUUCGAGUUCCUGGCAAUUUCCCUCUUUGUGAUGUACCUUGUGAAUUCAGAGAGAAAAGGCAUAAGAAUUGUAUCAUAAAGUGGAAUAACGACCAAGAAUAACAUAAAUAUCAAUAGGAAAUCAUGAUGUAAAAUAUACGUACCAGCAAUUGAUUGAAAGGCGCAUAGUUAUGCAAUAUUUAUUCACGUCAAUGAUCAUGUAUAUUGGCAUCACGCCAUAAGAAAGUAGACUGAAUCCUUCCUGCAUCUACUAUUAUUACUCCACCCAUCGACCGCUAUCCAACCUGCAUCUAGAGUAUUAAGUAAAAACAAAGUAAUGAUUGGAGGAUGAUGACAUGAUGUAGACAAAGUAAAUCCAAUUAAUAUGAAUAAACCCCAUCGUUUAACCCUUAUUGGCAAUAACACAAUACGUGUCAUGUCCCUUUGUGUCACUGGGAUUGGGCACUGCAAGAUUGAUCCCACUACAACACACCUCUCUCACCAAAGAUAUAUCAAUCCACUUAGCCAAACCUAACCGUUAUAUCAGAGAGAAUCACGAAGUUAUGACAAUCAUGCAUAUAAGAAUUCAAAGAAGACUCAUAUAUUAUUCUUGAAUAAUCUUAACAUAAACCCACAAUUCAUUGGUUCCCAACAAACACAACACAAAGAUGAUUACAUAGGAUAGAUCGCCGUGGGAAUCGCGGCGAUUUUUGCAUUGAAGAACAUAAAGAGAGAUAGCCAUCUAGGUACUAAUUAUGGACCUGUAGGUCUGUGUUGAACUACCUACACAUCACCAUGGGAGAAGCAAGGUUGAUGUAGGGCCCCUCCAUGAUCGAUUCACUGAUACGUCCAUUUUGCAUCAUGUUUAGUUAUUGUUAUUUAUAGUAUUUUUAUGCAUUUUACCACUUGGAGGAGUAAUUCUAAUGCCUUUUCUCCCAUAAUAUGCAAGGUUUACGUCAAGUGGGAGAAUACCAGCAGAUGGAAUUCUGGACCUGAAAAAGCUAUGUCAGAGAUACCUAUCCUGCACACAUCUAAUUGAGCUGAAAUUUUACGGAGAUUUCUUUUAUAAUAAAUAAAAAAAUACUGGAACGAAGAAGUGCCGGAGGUGGGUCACCAGGGCGUGCCAGGGCCCCCUGGCGCAGCCUGAUUUCUAGUGGGCCACCUGGCCCACCUCUGCCGCCCAUCUUCUGGUAUAUAUUCUCCUCCGACGUAAAAAAUUAAGGAGAUGACUUUCGGGACAAAGCGCCGCGGUCUCGAGGCGGAACCCGAGCAGGAGCACUUUAGCCCUCUCGCGGAGCGAUUCUGCCGGAGGAACUUCCCUCCCGAAGGGGGAAAUCGAGGCCAUCGUCAUCACCAACAACCCACUCAUCUUGGGGAGGCUUAUCUUCAUCAACAUCUUCAUCAGUACCAUCUCCUAUCAAAACUCUAGUUCAUCUCUUGUACUCAAUCUUCUACUGAAACCUCGAAUUGGUACCUGAGGUGUGUCUAGUAGUGUUAAUUACAUAUUGUAGUUGAUGCUUUAUGGUUUAUUUGGUGGAAGAUAAUAUNNNNNNNNNNAUACCUAUCUAAUCAUGAACAUGUUUAUCACUUAUGAGUAGUUACUUUUGUUCUUGAGGCCAUGGGAGAAAUCAUGUUGCAAAUAGUCAUGUGAAAUUGAUAUUUGUUCGAUAUUUUGAUGAUAUGAAUGUUGUGAUUCCCUUAGUGGUGUUAUGUGAACAUCGACUACAUAACACUUUACCAUAUUUUGGGCCUAAGGGAAUGCAUUGUGGAUUAGUAAUUAGAGGUUGGGUUGCGAGAGUGACAUAAACUUAAACCCCAGUCUAUGCACUACUUCAUAAGGGGCUGAUUUGAUCCCUAUGUUUAAUGUUAUGGUUAGAAUUUAUUCUUAAUACUUUUCUCGUAGUUGCGGAUGCUUGCGAUAGGGUUAAUCAUAAGUGGGAGGUUUAUUCAAGUAAUAUAAGCACCCAAGCACCGGUCCACCCACAUAUCAAAUUAUCAAAAUACCGAACGAGAAUUAACCCAACAUGAUGAAAGUCAUCGGAUGAAAUUCCCGGGUGCCCUCAAGAACGCUUUGCCUAUUAUAAGAACCUGUUUUGGCCUGUCCUUUGCCUCAAAAGGAUUGGGAUACCUUGCUGCACCUAUUGUUACUAUUGCUACUUGUCACUUUUUUCAGUUAUCUUGCUAUCAAACAACUUGAUACCACUAUUUCAGUGCUUACAAAAAUUACCUUGCUGAAAACCGCUUGUUAUUUUCUUCCGCUCCUCGUUGGGUUCGACACUAUUACUUAUCGAAAGGACUAUGAUUUCCCCCUAUACUUGUGGGUUAUCAAGACUCUUUUUCAGCGCUGUUGCUAGGGAGUGAAGCACCUUUGGUAAGCGGAAUUUGGUAAAGGAAAAUUUAUAUUACGUACUAAAAUUUACUGUUACUCGUCACUAUAGAAAGUAAUCCUUUGAGGGGUUUGUUCGGGGUAUCUUCACCUCGAAUAGAAACACCAAAAGUUGUCGCUCAACCCGCUGCACCUACUGAAAAUGUUUACUAUGAAAUUCCUUCGGGUAUGAUAGAGAAACUGCUAGCUAGUUCUUUUGCACGAGAUGGAACAAAACUUCCCGAUAUGCACCUAAUCUAUGUGGAUGAAGUUUGUGGAUUAUUUAAGCUUGCAGGUUUAUCCGGAGAUGAAGUCAAGAACAUGCUUUUUCAUUUAUCUUUGGGGGUCAAAUCAUAGACAUGGUAUAGGCUAUGUGAUGACACAUGAUCUUGGAACUGGAAUCAACCGCAAUUGGACUUUCACCAAAUUUUUUAUCCUAUGCAUCUUGUUCAUCGUGAUCGGAAUUUUAUCUAUAAUUUCUGGCCUCGUGAAGGAGAAAGCAUCGCUCUAGCUCGGGGCAGGCUGAAGUCAAUGUUAUAUUCAUGCCCCAAUCAUGAGCUCUCGUGAGAAAUUAUUGUUCAAAAUUUUUAUGCUUGGCUUUCUCGUAAUGAUCAAACCAUGCUCGAUACUUCUUGCUCUGGUUCUUUUAUGAGGAAGACUAUUGAAUUCAGGUGGGAUCUUUUGGAAAGAAGUACAACUCUGAAGAUUGGGAUUUCGGCGAAGCUAAAGAGCCAGGUAUAAAACCUAAGUUUGAUUGUGUUAAAUCUUUAAUGGAGACCGAUGCUUUCAAUAAAUUUAGCACUUAGUAUGGACUUGACUCUCAAAUAGUAGCCUCAUUUUGUGAAACCUUUGCUGCUCAUGUUGAUAUCCCUAGAGAGAAGUGGUUUAAAUAUCAUCGACCUAUUAAAGAAAAAAAUUGAAGAACCAAUUGAAGUUGAAGCUGAAACUAUUAUUUAUAAUGUUGACCUAGUUGUGCCUACUGCUUACAUUGAGAAACCACCUUUCUGUGUUAGGAUAAAGGAACAUGCUAAAGCUUUAACUGUGGUUAAUAAAAGUUAUGUUAGAACAACAAAACCUUCUGAGAAAAUUAAUGUAGAACCCAGUAAUGCUAUGGUUAAAGACGACUAGGUAGACAAUAUUGAUGUGCAUGUUAUUUAUUUCCGUAAUGAAGCUGCUAGAAUUGCCAAACCUGAUACUAAAGACAAGAAUAGACCUGUUGUUGGCAUGCAUGUCGUUUCAGUCAAAAUCGGAGAUCAUUGAUACCAUGGUUUAUGUGAUAUGGAUGCUAGUGUUAGUGCUAUCCCUUUUACCUUAUAUCAAGAAAUUAUGCAUGAGAUAGCCCCCGCUGAGAUAAAAGACAUAUAUGUUACUAUUAAACUUGCUAAUAGAGACACCAUCACACCACUUGGGAUUGUUAGAUAUGUUGAAGUCUUGUGUGGAAAAGUAAAAUACCCUACUGAUUUCCUAGUACUUGGCUCACCAGAAGAUAAUUUUUGUCCCAUAAUAUUUGGUAGACCCUUCUUGAACAUUGUUAGUGCUCAAAUAGAUUGCAAAAAGGAAACUGUUAGUGGUAAUUUUGGUGGUACGUCUCAUGAGUUCCAUUUCUCCAAGUUUAGCAAACAACACCAUGAAAAGAAUUGCCUAGUAAAGAUGACGUAAUUGGUGUUGCUCCUAUUGCCAUUCCUCCUAUGGAUCCAUUAUAAUAUCAUUUGCUAGACCAUGAAAAUGGUAUGCAUAUGCAUGAAAGAAAUGAAAUAGAUAAUAUGUUCUUUGAGCAAAAACCUAUCCUUAAACACAACUUGCGUGUUGAAACUCUAGGAGGUCCUCCUCCACCCAAGGUUGAUCCUGUGUUUGGAUUAAAGCAAUUACCAGACACACUGAAAUAUGCUUAUCUUGAUGAAAAGAAGAUAUGUCCUGUUAUUAUGAGUGCUAACCUUAUAGAGCAUGAAGAAGAAAGAUUAUUAGAAACUUUAAGGAAGCACCUAGCUGCUAUUGGGUAUACUAUUGAUGAUCUUAAGGGCAUUAGUCUCACUCUCUAUCAACACGAGAUUAAUAUGCAACUAGAUGCUAAACCCGUUGUUGAUCACCAACGAAGACUAAAUACCAAAACGAAAGAAGUGGAAUGAAAUAUUAAAGCUUCUGGAAGAAGGUAUACAUUAUCCCAUAACUGAUAGUAGAUGGAUGAGUCCAUUUCAUUGUGUCCCUAAGAAAGGAGGUAUAACUGUUGUUCCUAAUGAUAGAAAUGAAAUCAUUCCACAAAGAAUUGUGACUGGCUAUAGAAUGGCAAUUGACUUUAGAAAACUAAACAAAGCUAGUGGAAAAGAUCAUCAUCCUUUUCCGUUCAUAUACCAAAUGCUAGAAAGAUUAUCGAAGCACACAUAUUUUUGCUUUCUAGAUGUUUAUUCUCGUUUUUCUCAAAUACGUGUUGAAAGGAUCGAUAUGGUUGACUAGAGGGGGGGGGGGUGAAUAGGUGACUCACAAAAUUUAAUCUUUUCUUUUAGCAAAUUAAGUUUAGCAACAAAUAGGUUGUCUAGAUAUGAAACUAAGUGAGCAACCUAUAUGAUGCUAAGAACAACAGUAAGCAAGAAGUAAAUACAAGUGAAGGUAAGAAAUAACCACAAGUCGAACCGAUGAGGACGAUGAUGUGUUUCGGAAGUUCCUUCCUUUUGAGGGGAAGUACAUCUUUGUUGGAGCGGUGUGGAGGCAAAAUGCUCCCCAAGAUGCCACUAAGGCCACCGUAUUCUCCUCACGCCCUCACACGAUGCGAGGUGCCAUGAUUCCACUGAGUGGUGUCCUUGAAGGCGGCGAGCGGAUCUUUACAAACAAGGUUUGGGCAAUCUCCACAACCUAAUUGGAGGAUCCCAACGAGACGCGAAGCUUCACCACAAUGGAAUAUUGCUUCGAGGUGACCUAUUCCGUCUAGGGUGCUCAAACACCUAAGAGUAACAAGAUCCGCGAGGGAUUAAUGGGGGGAAUAACUUUUCUCUUAGUGGAAGUGAGGGGGAAGGCCUUCUCCUACAAACCCUAGAGAAUCAACAAGAGUUGAUGGCUAGGGAGGGAGAUUGGGCAAGUUUGAACUUUGGAAUAACAAUGGAGCUUCUUGUUGGAAAUAUGCCCUAGAGGCAAUAAUAAAUUAGUUAUUAUUAUAUUUCUUAGUUCAUGAUAAUCGUUUAUUAUCCAUGCUAUAAUUGUAUUGAUUGGAAACACAAUACUUGUGUGGAUACAUAGACAAAACACUGUCCCUAGUAAGCCUCUAGUUUACUAGCUCGUUGAUCAAAGAUGGUCAAGGUUUCCUGGCCAUAGGCAAGUGUUGUCACUUGAUAACGGGAUCACAUCAUUAGGAGAAUCAUGUGAUGGACUAGACCCAANNNNNNNNNNNNNNNNNNNNNNNNNNNNNNNNNNNNNNNNNNNNNNNNNNNNNNNNNNNNNNNNNNNNNNNNNNNNNNNNNNNNNNNNNNNNNNNNNNNNCCUCCCUCCCUCCCUCUCUCCCUCUCCCUCUCCCUCUCCCUCCCUCUCUCCCUCCCUCUCUCUCUGCAGCUACGGGCGGCGGAGGCACAAAGCGCAAAGCUGCAGCGUGCAGGGUGAGAGAGAAUCUAACCAUGUGAUACCAUGUUAGGAAUGAGCAACUAGCAUUCAUAGGAGGCCAAGGACGACUAUAUAUACAUAUGAGAAAAAGGCAAGAAAUCUCUUAUAUAAUAAGAAUAUAAAAUAAAUGAAUUAUACACAUCUUACACAAACACAAACGACAUGAGAUCCAAGAGCACAAGCUCUACACGCCCUAGACCCGAGAUGCAUGGAUCUGUCGCAACCUGAAAAUCGAAUUUCGCCUCCUCUUUUCAGCAAUCAAAUUGAGUCGCCGACAAGCGCGCUUGGAGGCUCUAUACAUGAUAGCCCUUCCACCACCUUGACCCAAUUCGUGUACGAUGUGACUAUAUUGAUGAAUAGGGGUGUAGCAUUUUGCCGGUGCCACGCACAUGCGCUCGAUCAAAACGGGCUGACGUGCCACCGGCUCAUCAUCCGUGCCUACCAGCACGACAAAAUUAAGCUGCAAAGAUACAAAUACUUAGUACAAAACUGAACGAAGAUAAGGCAUGGUGACUAGCACCAUCACCAUGCGAUGCGAGAUUCAGUCGACAGAUUAGCCGAAUUUGUUCGUUUGUCUCUUCCGGGGUCUAGAAGCUUCAUGGAAGCGGCCAGCGCCGUCCAUCUAGAUCCAGGGGCACGCGUCACCGUUCGGUCUCUACUACCGUACGUACAACGCUGACGAUCGAUCGACGUGUAAUUUUAUCAGUGUGGAUGGCCGAAUCACCGAGACACGCCGAUGGAGAGACGGCCGGAGAUUCAAUCAUGCAUGCUCCGUCCGUAGAAAAGGGUGCGAAUGAAGGAAUAAAGGCGAGACGUGGUGGCUAUACACCCGUCACCGUGUUGUGUUUCCUGAUCCAUCUAUAGGAGUAGUAUAUUUUGUGUGAUUGUGUCUGCAAGAAUCUCACACGAUCGAGCAAGCGAGUGACACGAGUCACGCCACGACGAAAAGCGGAAUGCGGCGCCGACGUGUGAUCAAGCAAACUGGCCUCGAGAUCCAUUUCCGCCCACUCAGGAUUCAUAGAUCCCAUGUAUGUUUUGUCCUUGGUCAUAUGCAUACUAUUAUCUCUGUAUCAUAACAUAUGACGUUUUAGCAGUUCAAUAAUACGGAGGGAGUAGUUUUCACGUGCCGAUGAAUCAACUGGUAUGUGGAAUGGGUUGGUUGUGCUGACGUUUACUUGCAGGUCCAACGGCAAACUCCUUGAGAAUCCCAUCCUUGCUUAGCCCCCACGAGUCCAUGUAUAUAUAUAGAUUCAGGCCGUGCAGCGCCGCGAGCCUCUUCAGGCUGUUGCUGGUGGUGCGGGAUGUUUUGGGACGAUGAAAUGUCCAAAUUUUUGCAGUUCAUGUAGAGUAAAAUUUCAUCAACCAUAAACCCCAUCGUUCAACAACAAAAUGCAUAGUAUGUAAUUUACUAGAACAUCACAGCAGACUUCAGGACUUCAACUACUCCAAUUUUGUCUAUUCAUCACAUUUAAUUUCUGCAUAAUAACACCUCACUGAAUCUUUCUCUUGCCAAUAAAGGCUUAUUUUUUAUAUAGUAUAAUUUUGAAAAGGAGGAUCAACCCAGUCUCCGUUUAUCCAUGAAAUUAUUUAUGAAUAUAUUCAUCAUACAGUUACAACUCAUACCUCGAAAACAAGUGCAAACCACGAGAGCAAACAACAUAUCUCAUGCAUUGAUCGUCCAGUAAGAUAAAAUAUCCGCAGCGGACACGGGUACAAUUCAACAUUAAUAUAGCCAGCCUUUAUAUCAAUUUUUGCCUUGUAAAAGGAUGUGUAUAUAUACGAACGCACAAGUCACACAAUGCAUGCAGUUCUCCCCUUGCUUGGUUUCUGAGCUAUUGGCACAUACCUAGCCUUAGCAAAUUCCCGAUGGUUAUAAACUGGACAGGCAUAUAUAGGAGUACAUUGGGCAUGGGCGGCCUUGGGAACUCAACUUUUAGCAACACCUGAACAGCUGGCUCAACCGAUUUGGACCCGGGGAGGGUCGGAGCUCCUGCUCCGGCUAGGUGGAGUUGGGCGUGGUCCGGGGAACGCUUACAGGUCAUGGUCUCCUCGCGGGUGCGGUAUGCGUCGGCGGUUGUUGGGAUACUGGUAGACGGUAGGCUGGUCCGGCGUCCGUGACAACAUGCAUGCCGUUGUGUGAGCUUGCUUGGCAAUGACCGUCGGUAGCCACGGGGCCGUGUCCCCUCCCGGUGCACCAUGAUUGGCUGGGGAUGCAGGUAUGGACGCCUCCUACAGUGGAGGUGUCGACCCAGGCUCUGAGACUGAUGAUGGGCUACGACUGAAAGGAGGCCCCUUUCACUCCUUUUGCCGUGGCUGGGACGCUGGAGAUCGUUGGCGUUUCUCGGACCUGGAUGCCGGGGCGUCAACUCCGGGUGAGGCUUCACAUAAGGGUGGCUCUCCGGCGGGUCCCAUGGUGGUGGUGGUGGUGGCGGUGGCUACCCCUCUUGGUUAUGUGGGCGGUAAGAGGUGUAGCGAUGGGUGGCUGUGGCGGUCGUUAUGUCUUGGCGGUGACGACGCCCCAAUCCGGACCUAAGGAGCUGGUCUCAUCGCGCUUGUCCUGAAGACCUCUUGGUGGCACGGGGAGCUACUAAGUCAAAGCUCCGCGCUUUGGCACCAACGAUAGCGACGCUCUCGAGCGCCGCUCUCUUUCCGAAGACGUUGUCGAGGUGCUCCUAUCCCUGUGAUAGUUUCGGGUGAAGACCCUUAUCCGCUCCGGACUUGGCACGGUCAUGUUGUGCGUCGUUUUCUCUCUUGAGGGCGUUGUUGUGGAGCUUAGUUGUGUUAGGGCGUAGAGCGGCGAUGUUCUUAGUUCUUCCUAUGUACUUUUUCGGUUGCGUUAUGUGUGAUCUGUUUAUUUCAGGAUAGGAGUCGCAUCAUCAGCGUGUAUCAUCCAUCUGUGUACAUUAUUCUGAUGUUGCUUUAUAUAUAAAAUGUGAUGAAAGCGUGUUUCAAGACUUGAUGUGUAUAUAUAGAUUCAGCCCAUGCAGCGUCGCCAGCCUCUUUCAGGCUGCUGGUGGUGUUGUGGGAUGUUUCCGGGCGACGAUAUGUUCAAAUUUUUGCAGUCCAUAUAGAGUAAAAUUUCAGCAACCACAACCCCCACCGUUCAACAACAAUAGUACAUAUGUACUCCCUCCGUUCCAAAAUAUAAGACCUUUUAGGAAUUUCACUAGGAGACUACAUACGAAGCAAAAUGAGUGAAUCUAUACUCUAAAAUAUGUCUAUGUACAUCCGUAUGUAGUUUAUAGUACAAUCUCUAAAAGGUCUUAUAUUUACGAACGGAGGGAGUAAUUAAGUAGAACAUCACAAGCAGACUUCAGGACUUCAACUACUAUUUUUGCUGUUCAUCAGAUUUAAUUUCUGCAUAAUGGCACCUCACUAGAUCUUUUAUCUCUUGCCAAUAAAAGCUUACUUUUUUAUAGCAUACUUCUGAAAGGGAGGAUCGAUCCAUGUCUCCGUAUAAACCUGUCAUGCAAUCAUUUAUGAAUUUAUUCAACAUACAAUUACAACUCAUAACUCGAAAACAAGUGCAAAGCACUAGAUCAAACAACAUAUCUCAUGCAUUGGUCGUCCAGUAAGAUAAAAUCUUCACAAAAAACACCGAUACAAUUCAAGAUUAAUAUUGCUAGCGUUUAUAUCUGUUUAUGCCUGGUAAAAGGAUGUUUAUAUAUACGCAUGCACAAGUCACACAAUGCAUGCAACCCCCCUCGCCUGUUUUUUGAGCUAUUGUCACAUACCUAACCUUAGCAAAUUCUAGGUAGUCAUGAACUGGGCACGCAUAUACAUGAGUACAUUGGGCAUGGGCGGCCUUGGGAACUCAACUUUUAGUAACACAUGUACAGCUGGUUCUACUGAUAUCUGUAGCUCAACCUUAGCUACUUGUCAUGUUUUGAUUUUUCUUUUUGUCCAUAUUCAUUGAUAGGAUCAAGCUUUCCGGCCAUGUUCAGUGAUAGGACCAAGAAAGAAGCACGUGAGAACUAGUCUAUCACUGCAAGAAUAUUAGGUGAUCAAACCUACAUGGCCGUGACACGACAAGGCGCAUAGCAUGGUUCCGACGUGAAGUUCCCUCUAGCGAUACACCUACCUGCAGAAUGAUGCAAUGUAACAAAGUUGUAACAUAUAGGUUUUGUGACUGACUCAUGUUCGUGGUGCAAAUGGGCAAACCUUUGACUCUUUCUUCACUGGAUUAUCUUAGUUGCUUAACUUCAUUGAUCAGCAAAGACAAUACCCUCGACCGGUUCAUCUUGUCCGUGUUGGACUACUAAGCAACGCAAAUGCAUGUUGUUUAGGUGUUGGUCAAGGUGGAAUGAACCAGUGACACUAAGCACUAACCAAGUUGGCCACAAAGCAUAGCCAAGACCAUAGUCAUUAACGACAAUAGUAAUCCGAAAACUGAAAGGAAGCAAACAAAUGGCGCUUUUUCAUCUCCUGAAAACACAUCGUUUUUAUAUCACUUCAUGUUUUCGUGCUACUGCUAGUGGAUCAAUGACACAGUUAAAUUCUAUACCGGUCGAGGGCUAGCUCCAUCUUUGCAAUUGGAAUUUUCUAAGAAUAGUAUGUAGUCUUAGAUGUUGUAUCAGAAUAUGAAGGUACUUCAAUGUAUGGUUUGAUCAUUAUGGGAGACAGAUAUGUCAUCUAAGGAUGACAUUACUUGCUCCGUUUCUUGGAAUAAAUCCUUUACCUCUUGAUCCUUUCCUAGAGCAGUGCAUAUCUAGCUAUCCGACUUAUGGAUACACAUCGUAUUACCUCUUGAUCUUGCAAGUUAACACAUCAUAUCUCUUACAUAGACCAUUUUCCAUUCCACAUGGCAAGUGAACCAACUCUUUUGCAAAUUUGACCGAAUGAUACUCUAGAAUAUAUAUGUUGUUUAUGCAAACUAUUUGAUGGGCCAAAAGUGGAAGGGGUAGUGAGCUUCUUGGGAAUGCAAUCCUUUACCUAUUUCCCUACAACUACAUGUGCUUUAGGUCGUGCAGCGUCCUGAGCCUCUUCAAGCCGUUCAGGCAAACACUGUUGUUUCGAGGUGACGAGAUGUUUGUUAUUUUUGGUGGUGGUAAAAUUUUCCGCGGUCGGUGUGUAUUAAAGGUUUCACCAACCACAAACAUCAUCGUUCAACAAUAAAGUACAACUAAAUUUUAUCACAAGAUCGUAAGUAGACUUGACUAGCUCAAUUGCAAUUGAUCCUGUUUCAGGUACAAUUUGUACUAUUGAUGUUGAAUAAAUUUUACUCAUGCAUAACAAUGAAACCUCAUCAAAUCUUUUAUUCCUCAACAACAAAGGCCUUUGAGCAUAUUCUCUAAAAAGGAGGAUCACUCUCGGCCUCUAUAUAUCAGUUGACAAUUAGUGCAUGCAAUCAUUUAAUUUGUUCAUCAUCUGAUCAAUACAACAAGUUCAUAUGAGUAGUGCUCCUGUUCUUCUCUUGAAUGGCGUUCUUGCUCUGCUUUACCGGCUGCCCAUCCGACCAUGUUUCCUAAAUGUCCUUCCAUGCAUGUGCAUGUCAGGGUUGAGGAGAGAGAGGGGAUGUACGAACGUCUGAUAUUGUGACUUUGGAUAGGCUAUACGGAUGUUCAUACACUCACAAAGCCAGAAGCGUUCUCACACACUUGAGAGUUAGCAUUGGAUGUCAAAAAGUGUCCAGACUCUGGCAAAAGACAUAUAUGGUGAUUUGAGGGUCUGCGUCAGAGAUGCACAUACAGACUGCUUUGAACGUUGAACAUCAACGAUUGAUAUUCGGUUGUGGCGUAGACCAUAUACAAAAUGAAUGUGUACAACAGUAUAUAACCUACAAAGGGAAGAUAUUUUCCAUUAAAGCCAUUUGUUUGCGAGCAAAGACACCCAGAUGAUCUUAAACCUAAUAAACAUCAAGGAAAACAAUAGUCGGUACAAUGGGCAGACAACUAAACAUGGAACAACCAGUAAUUGUUCUGCAUUUAAAGACAUACUAUAGACUUCUUUAUGCAGCCUGGCAAAUAUAAAAAAUUACACUCAACCAACAUUAAAGAAUAGAGACACCUAUAAAUGUUCACACCGUACAAGACUUUGAAGACUGAUAAUCAGCCAAUAGCUCUUCUUGAAAGAGAUAUCGAUUGCCAUGAUCUGAAGGGAGCCAAUAGAACUGGGGACACAAACCCUCACUUGCCUUGGUCGGCGCCAGAUCAAAUAUCAUUACGGUAGAAAAAGACCGAAGAACUUUAUUCCAACACGUCAUCAUCACCAUCGCCUCAAAUAUGUCGACAUGGAAACAAAAAUCUAAGCAAAAGAGAAAGAGACGGAUAGCCCCACUCCUCUUGACGUCGACGAGGCUGUCAGACAUGGACAAGAAAUGUGACUGAUACAUCGAUGUGUAAGAAUGUAAGAGCAACUCUAGUAGAGUCGUCAUAACAUAUAUGCCCGAGUGCCACAAUAAUCACAAUUAUGAAUAUUUUUGCCAAAAAUGCACUCUUGCAGAGUCAUUAUUUGACAAGGGAUCACUAUAAUUUAUGAUGCGUCCUCCAUUUCUGGUCUCCCUGUUGCCAUCAUAUUAGGGGUCGCCCUAAUUUUUAGAUCACGCUCUAUAUGACAGUUAUGUACCGCGGGAAAGAAACUUUAGACGGUUUGGAAAUGCUACACUGACAUAAUCAGUCAUAUGUAAUUAACGUAAUGGCCUAGGGCUCACAUUUUUUUGUUGGACGAAAUUAGGGGAGAUGGCCCACACGUUGAAUUGGGGGGGGGGGGGGGNNNNNNNNNNNNNNNNNNNNNNNNNNNNNNNNNNNNNNNNNNNNNNNNNNNNNNNNNNNNNNNNNNNNNNNNNNNNNNNNNNNNNNNNNNNNNNNNNNNNNNNNNNNNNNNNNNNNNNNNNNNNNNNNAAGAAGAAGCAUGUUUACGUUGGUGUAGCUUUUCUGCGAGGUUGAAGGAAAAAAGAACAUCUCAUUGAUGAGUGGGUCUAUGAUUAUUGAGGCAACAAAUAUGACAAUUCUAACUUGACGUUGUGGCUCGGCCUCGACUCUGUUUCAAUUACUCUAACCUGGUACUUCUUGCAUGAGCAACCAUGAACCAAUUCAGACCAAUAAUGCUACAUUUACAAACUACAGUUUGAUACGGAACCAACUUAAAAAAAAAGGAUGACCUUCGGCCUCUGCAUCUGAUAAAUGCAUGUAGUCAUUUUAUUAAUUAUUUAAAAAGAUGUUACAAAAUAAUACAUUAAUAUGUCUGAGGCCAUCAUCUUGAUAACAUCUGUCGCUAUUCCUAUCUAUUGAUGAAAAGGUGUCAAAUGUUCAUACCAAAUACCAAACAUAUAUCGCACCAAAGUCUAAAUGUCCUGACCAAGCGAUAUACCGUGUAUGGGGCCCAAACCGGCCCGACGCACUCUCAUAGAUCAUCACCUGCCUUGUUCCAUCGAUCUAUCAUCAAAGCAGGUACCGAUGCAUCGACCUUGCCCGACCCGUCGUCUACCCCCCCCCCCCCCCCCCCCCNNNNNNNNNNNNNNNNNNNNNNNNNNNNNNNNNNNNNNNNNNNNNNNNNNNNNNNNNNNNNNNNNNNNNNNNNNNNNNNNNNNNNNNNNNNNNNNNNNNNGCGUGGAGGCACGCGGCGGAUAUCGUUAUUUUCUCACCUUCACUGACGAUUUAAGUAGAUAUGGUUAUGUCUACUUGAUGAAGCACAAGUCUGAAACAUUUGAAAAGUUCAAGCAAUUUCAGAGUGAAGUGGAAAAUCAUCGUAACAAGAAGAUCAAGUUCCUACGGUCUGAUCGUGGGGGUGAAUAUCUGAGUUUCGAGUUUGGUACUCACUUAAGACAAUGUGGAAUUGUUUCGCAGUUAACACCGCCUGGAACACCACAGCGUAAUGGUCUGUCCGAACGUCGUAAUCGUACUUUGUUAGAAAUGGUGCGAUCUAUGAUGUCUCUUACUGAUUUGUCGUUAUCGUUUUGGGGUUAUGCAUUAGAAACAGCUGCAUUCACUUUAAAUAGGGCACCGUCGAAAUCCGUUGAGACGGCACCAUACGAACUGUGGUAUGGCAAAAGGCCAAAGUUGUCAUUUCUUAAAGUUUGGGGAUGUGAUGCUUAUGUCAAAAAGCUUCAGCCUGAAAAGCUGGAACCCAAAGCGGAAAAGUGCGUCUUCAUAGGUUACCCAAAAGAGACAGUUGGGUACACCUUCUAUCUCAAAUCCGAGGGCAAAGUGUUUGUUGCUAAGAACGGAACUUUUCUCGAGAAGGAGUUUCUCUCGAGAGAAUUGAGUGGGAGGAAGAUAGAACUUGACGAGGUUGUCGAACCUCUCAUCCCUCUGGAUGGUGGUGCGGGGCAAGGGGAAACCUCUGUCAUUGCGACGCCGGUUGAGGAGGAAGUUAAUGAUGAUGAUCAUGAAACUCCAGUUCAAGUUUCUGCUGAACCACGCAGGUCGACGAGAUCACGCGCUGCUCCAGAGUGGUACGGUAAUCCCGUCUUAUCAAUCAUGUUGUUAGACAACAAUGAACCUGCAAAUUAUGAAGAAGCAAUGGUGGGCCCAGAUUCCAACAAAUGGCUAGAAGCCAUGAAAUCCGAGAUAGGAUCCAUGUAUGAGAACAAAGUGUGGACUUUGGAGAUGCUGCCUGAGGGCCGCAAGGCUAUUCAGAACAAAUGGAUCUUUAAGAAGAAGACGNNNNNNNNNNNNNNNNNNNNNNNNNNNNNNNNNNNNNNNNNNNNNNNNNNNNNNNNNNNNNNNNNNNNNNNNNNNNNNNNNNNNNNNNNNNNNNNNNNNNUAGAACACAGAGGAGGUGACUAUAGUGGAAAGAGGUGGGGGUUGCAACUUUGUAGACUGGGCUCGUAAUCUUAAGCUAAUCUUACAAGCUGGAAAGAAGGAUUAUGUCCUUAAUGCUGCGCUAGGAGAUGAACCACCCGCUACGGCUGAUCAGGAUGUUAAGAACGCUUGGUUAGCGCGUAAGGAGGACUACUCAAUAGUUCAAUGUGCAGUCUUGUAUGGCCUAGAACCGGGACUUCAACAUCGCUUUGAGCGUCAUGGAGCAUUUGAGAUGUUCCAGGAGUUAAAGUUCAUCUUUCAGAAGAACGCCCGGAUCGAGAAGUAUGAGACCUCCGAUAAAUUCUAUGCUUGCAAGAUGGAGGAAAACUCGUCUGUCAGUGAACAUGUGCUCAAAAUGUCUGGGUACUCAAACCGUCUAGCUGAACUGGGGAUUGAACUCCCGCAAGAAGCUAUCACUGACCGAAUCCUUCAAUCGCUGCCGCCAAGCUAUAAAGGCUUUGUGUUGAACUACAACAUGCAAGGGAUGAACAAGUCUCCCGGCGAGUUGUUUGCGAUGCUGAAAGUCGCAGAGUCUGAACUCCGUAAAGAGCAUCAAGUGUUGAUGGUGAGCAAGACCACUAGUUUCAAGAGAAACGGCAAAGGCAAGAAGGGCAAUUCGAAGAAGAGCGGCAAGCCUGUUGCCAAUCCACCGAAGAAACCCAAAGCUGGACCUAAGCNNNNNNNNNNNNNNNNNNNNNNNNNNNNNNNNNNNNNNNNNNNNNNNNNNNNNNNNNNNNNNNNNNNNNNNNNNNNNNNNNNNNNNNNNNNNNNNNNNNNGAAAGAAUUGAGUGGGAGGGUAGUAGAACUUGAUGAGGUUAUUGAACCAUCACUUCAACCAGUGUGUAGCAGGGCGCAGGAAGUUGUUCAUGUGGCGCCUACACCAAUUGAAGUGGAAGCUGAUGAUGAUGAUCAUUGAGCUUCGAAUCAAGUUACUACAAACCUCGUAGGUCGACAAGGUCGCAUACUGCUGCAGAGUAGUACGGUAACCUUGUCUUGGAGGUCAUGUUGUCGAGCAACAGUGAACCUACGAGUUAUGGAGAAAGCGAUGGUGGGCCCAGAUUCCGACAAAUGGCUGGAAGCCCUGAAAUCCGAGAGAGGAUCCAUGUGUGAAAACAAAGUGUAGACUUUGGUAGAACUACUUGAUGGUCAUAGGACUAUUGAGUAAAAAUGGAUCUUUAAAAGAAGACAGACGAUGAUGGUGAUAAGUCACUAUUAAGAAAAGCUCGACUUGUCGCAAAGAUGUUUUCGAUAAGAUCAAACAGUUGACUAUGAUGAGAAUUUCUCACUCGUAGCGAUGCUAAAAGUCUGUUAGAAUUAUGUUAGUUGUUGAUGCAUUAUUUAUGAAAUAUUGCACGUAGGAUGUCAAAACAUUGUUUUCUGGACGGUUUCCUUGAGCAAACAUUGUAUGUGAUACAACCAGAAGGUUUUGUCGAUCCUAAAGAUACUAGCAAGUAUGCAAGCUCCAGUGAUCCUUCAAUGGACUGGUGCAAGCAUCUCGGAGUUGGAAUAUACACUUUGAUGAGAUGAUCAAAGAUUUUGGGUUUGUACAAGGUUUAUGAGAAACUUGUAUUUCCAAAGAAGUGAGUGGGAGCACUAUAGAAUUUCUGAUAGGUAUAUGUGGUUGACAUAUUACUGAUUGNNNNNNNNNNNNNNNNNNNNNNNNNNNNNNNNNNNNNNNNNNNNNNNNNNNNNNNNNNNNNNNNNNNNNNNNNNNNNNNNNNNNNNNNNNNNNNNNNNNNGAACAACUUCACUCGAGGCUCGCUUCUUUAACAUCUUCAUCAUGACCUUUCUUCCACCUUGGCCGCGCCCCUUUACCACCGUCUUCAAAUUCACUCCUCGUAGUAGGGAAUGGAGUGCAUCUGGUUUGCGGUGGGGAAGAUGCUUUCGAUAUUGGUGAAGAUGUUCUACAGCGUGAAGAUGGACUGAGAGCCGCACCAAAACACUUCGCCGACGAGCUUGCGCGCGUCAAACAGGUUGGUGGAGGUGGUCGUGAGAAAUUUGAUGGUGCCGACGCAGUCACGAACCUUGUUGAGGGUAAACAUCACCAGCGAGCCCCAUGGGAGGUGGGCAAAGCUGUCGGUGAGGAAGUCGCGAGCGAGCUCGACGGACCCCCUCCACCUAGAUUGCACCCACACAUGGAGCAUGUUCUCCACGAGGACGCCCAGCGGUUAGCGCAGCUCCUGCAUGGUAGGUGGGUGAAGGAAGGUCAGCGUGUUGUACUGCAUCUUUAGUUGGUUCUGGGGGUUCUUGGAGAGGAUGGAGGGCUCGGUCCCUUGGGUGUUUGAAGUGGAGAUUAUGGACCUCGCUUGGGUGGUGAGUGGGAGAGGAAGAGAGGCGUACAAAUAGGCGUGUGUGUGGUAGAGGAAGAGAGAAGGGUUGUGAAUGAACAGUGCGUGUGCGGGUGUGUAUCCAUGCGCGUGCGUGUGUAUCUAUUACGAUUUUACACUGAAAUGAUGAGGCGUGUGUAUCCGGACGCGUGCGUGCCUCUAAGUCCCUGCGAUGCAUCUGAAUCACUGCUCACAUCUAAAUCAAGCGGUGCAUGGCCACGUCGUUCGCCUCCAGCACAUGCAUGCCCACGUCCUCUCUUCUCGUGCAUACAUGACCACGUCGUGUCGCUUCCCAUGCAUGCAGGCGUGGAAAGGCUGAGACAGGUGAAAGGACGUGGAUGUCGCCUAGAGGGGGGUGAAUAGGCGCUUUAAAAUAAUUACGGUUUAGGCUUGAACAAAUGCGGAAUAGAACUAACGUUUAAUUUGUCAAGCACAAAACCUACAACAACUAGGCUCACCUAUGUGCACCAACAACUUAUGCUAAGCAAGAUAAACAACUAAGUGAUAGCAAGAUAUAUGACAAUAAACAAUAUGGCUAUCACAAAGUAAAGUGCAUAAGUAAAGGGUUCGGGUAAUAGAUAACCGAGGCACGCGGAAACGAUGAUGUAUCCCGAAGUUCACACCCUUGCGGAUGCUAAUCUACGUUGGAGCGGUGUGGAGGCACAAUGCUCCCCAAGAUGCCACUAAGGCCACCGUAAUCUCCUCAUGCUCUCGCACAAUGCAAGAUGCCAUGAUUCCACUAAGGGACCCUUGAGGGCGGUCACCGAACCCGUACAAAUGGCAAACCUUGGGGGCGGUCACCGAUACCCGUACAAAUUGCUAGGGGCAAUCUCCACAACCUAAUUGGAGACCCCCGACGCUUUUUCGGAGCUUUACACCACAAUGAUUGAGCUCCGAGACACCACCAAGCUUCUAGGACACCAAAGCAUCCACGAAGAACAAUAUCUAGGGCACUAAGUACCAAAGGAAAUAAGCUUCUCAAACUUCACUUCCACGUAUCACCGUGGAGAACUCAAACGAUGCAACUAAUGCAAUGGCAAGGGCACACGGAGUGCCCAAGUCCUUCUCUCCCAAAUCCCACCAAAGCAACUAAUGCUAGGGAGGAAAAUGAGAGGAAGAACGAAGAAGAACACGAAGAACUCCAAGAACUAGACCCAAGGGGUUCCCCUCACUUAGAGGAGAAAGUGAUUGGUGGAAAUGUGGAUCUAGAUCUCCUCUCUCUUUUCCCUCAAGAACUAGCAAGAAUUAUUGGAGGGACUGAGAGUAAGCAAGCUCGAAGAAGGUCAACAAUGCGGGAAGAACACGAGCUAAAGAGAUAAGGUUCAAUGGGGAAGAAGACCCCCUUUUAUAGGUGGGGAAAAAUCCAACCGUUAGGCCUCACAACCCGCACAGAGCGGUAAUACCGCUCAUGGAGCGGUACUACCGCUCGGUAGGUUCACCAACCAUGCUCACGCCAAAAAGUAUGCAAAAAAACAGCCCGACGGAGCGGUACUACCGCUCCUGGAGCGGUACUACCGCUAGGGAGAGGUAGUAAAAAAUUACUACCGCUCCUGGGGCGGUACUACCUCUCUGGGGGCGGUACUACCGCUACAGGGGCGGUACUACCGCUACAGGAGCGGUACUACCGCUGGAUACUGAAACUGCUGUAACGUUCGCAUACGGACUCCGAAUUCAAUGAAACCAAGUUUGUUGGAAAGCUAACAACAUGGGCUAACACAAUCUUGAUAGAAAUAUCAAUAAGAAGCAAGUCAUAAAAGUCCCAUAAGAAAAUGGUGAGAACCCUUCUUCGAAUAAGACCGGUAAAAACUCCCAACAUCGAAAACAUCAUAGAAGAUGCAUAUGGACUCCGUUUUCGAUGAACUCGAGCUUGUCAUGAAGAUGAACAUAAGCUCUAAAACUCACAAAUAGAAACACCAAACAAGAACCAAGAAGUAUGAUGCAAGGAUGCAAAUGGUUUGAGCUCUCAACGAACGAUACGAUCAAGCUACUCACUUGAGAUCCCCCCUUGACAGUAUGACAAUCUAUCCUAAAACAGAAAACCUAUCAAGGGCAAACCUAUACCUUGCACCUCGUCCUCUUGAGCUAGAUGACGAUGAUCUUGGCUUCCUCAAGAUGGACCACCUUUCUUUAUUGCGUUAGCUUGAUGAAGACUAGUUGAUUGCUCCCCCAUACACACUAUGGGUGAGCCGCUCUUCAGCAUAUCUUCACAAGUCCAUUGCCACCACAAUGAACGGCAAGCAUCAAGCAUGAUAUAUUCGUGUUGAUCCACUUGAACUUGCACACCGCAAUCUUGANNNNNNNNNNNNNNNNNNNNNNNNNNNNNNNNNNNNNNNNNNNNNNNNNNNNNNNNNNNNNNNNNNNNNNNNNNNNNNNNNNNNNNNNNNNNNNNNNNNNNNNNNNNNNNNNNNNNNNNNNNNNNNNNNNNNNNNNNNNNNNNNNNNUGGAAGCACACCUAACCCCCACAUAGAACUCUCACAAAGACCAUGGGUUAGUACACAAACACGUAAUGGACAAUGCUUACCAUACAAUGGGAUCACUUGAUCCCUCUCGGUACAUCUUGUAUGCUUUGUGUGUUGAUCAUCUUGAUUUACUCUUUGUCUGAGAUCUUGAUCAACCUUGUGUCUUUAUGACCAUUCUUUGGAUAAUACCUUGAAUACCAUCUUGGUCAUCAUAUAAACUCCUUGAACCCAACAGAUGGACUUCAAGAAGUGCCUAUGNNNNNNNNNNNNNNNNNNNNNNNNNNNNNNNNNNNNNNNNNNNNNNNNNNNNNNNNNNNNNNNNNNNNNNNNNNNNNNNNNNNNNNNNNNNNNNNNNNNNCAAGGCCUUGUUUUCAUUGAGAUGAAAUAAGAUAGUAACUUGUUGGAAGUGAUACAUUUUGAUGUAUGCAGUCCAAUGGGUGCUGAGGCACGCAGUGGAUAUCAUUAUGUUCUUACUUCACUGACGAUUUGAGUAGAUACAGGAGUAUUUACUUAAUGAAUCACAAGUCUAAAAUGUUGAAAAGUUCAAUUCUGUUUCAGAGUGAAGUUCGUCGUAACAAGAGGAUAAACUGUCUACGAUAUGACCAUGGAAAUGAAUAUCUGAGUUACGAGUUUUGGUACACAGUUAAGACAAUGUGGAAAUUGUUUCGCAGUUCAUGCCACCUGGAACAUCAUAGUGUGAUGAUGUGUCUGAACGUCAUAGCCACGCACUAUUUGGUAUGGUGCAUACUAUCAUGUCUCUUAUCGAAUUACCACUAUUGUUUAUGGGUUAUGCAUUAGAGACAACUGCACUCACUUUAAAUAGGGCACCGCGUAUUUCCGUUGAGAUGACACAGUAUAGACUGAGGUUUAGAGAAAUCUAAACUGUCGUUUCUUGAAAGUUUGGGGUUUCGACACUUAUGUGAAAAAGUUUCAGUCUGAUAAGCUCGAACCCAAAGCGGAUAAAUGCAUCUUCAUAGGAUAUCCAAAACAGUUGGGUACAUCUCCUAUCUCAGAUCCGAAAGCAAAGUGUUUGUUUCUAGAAACGGAUCCUUUCUCGAGGAAAGGUUUCUCUUGAAAGAAUUGAGUGGGAGGGUAGUAGAACUUGAUGAGGUUAUUGAACCNNNNNNNNNNNNNNNNNNNNNNNNNNNNNNNNNNNNNNNNNNNNNNNNNNNNNNNNNNNNNNNNNNNNNNNNNNNNNNNNNNNNNNNNNNNNNNNNNNNNAGGGGGAGAGGGAGGGAGGGAGGGAGAGAGAGAGAGAGAGUUACUCAUUCUGGUUGUGGUGUAAUUCUUGAUACCGACUUUUGCUCUAUUCAGGAUCUUCGCACCAAGGCUCUUGUUCGUGAUGGCCCUCGACGACGUGAGUCGGAGGGUCUUUUGAAGGUUGACUGGCUUCAUGUUCCUUUCACUGCCAUCACUUCUGUCGGUUCUCAUGCUCUUGAUGCCUCCUCUUCUGCGACCUUCCAGAAGUGGCAUCAUCGACUUGGUCACCUAUGUGACUCCCGCUUGUCGACGUUGGUGCUUCAGGGUAUCUUAGGGUCUGUAUCCGGAGAUGUAUCUUUACCUUAUCCUACUAGUGAGUCAGUAUCCCAACGUCCUUUUGACUUAGUUCAUUCUAAUGUGUGGGGUCCUACUCCCUUUGAUUCGAAAGGAGGCUAUUGCUAUCAUUUUAUGUUUAUUGAUGAUUUCUCUCGCUAUACUUGGCUAUAUUUUAUGAAAUCUUGUAGCGAGGCUCUCUAUAUACAAAAGAUUUGCUACCAUGGUUCACACCCAGUUUUCCAUGCCUAUUCGCACUUUUUGGGUGGACUUCGCUUGAGAGUAUAGCUCCCACAUGUUGCGUGCCUUUCUCGCGGAACAGGGUACUCUUGCCCAGUUCUCAUGUCCUGGUGCCCAUGCUCAGAAUGGCGUUGCAGAACGCAAGCAUCGCCAUCUACUUGAGACGGCUCGUGCGCUGAUGAUCGACGCUUCCCUUCCACACCAUUUUUGGGUUGAGGUUGUCUCGGCAUCCACGUAUCUAAUCAACAUUCAACCAUCGACUGCCUUACAGGGUGGUAUUCCUCACUAGUUGUUCUCCUGACUACUCAACUCUCUGUAUGUUUGGAUGUGUAUGCUAUGUCCUUCUGGCCCCGCGAGAACACACCAAACUGACUGCUCAGAUGGUCGUGUGUGUUUUUCUUGGCUAUAGUGAUGAGCACAAGGCCUAUCGCCGUUAGGAUCCUGUUGGUCGUCGGUUGUGCAUUUUGCGUGAUGUGACUUUCGAUGAGUCUCGUUCUUACUACGCCCGCCCUUCCUCCUCGAGCUUUAGUGUGGAUGAUCUUUCUUUUCUUUUCUUCCCGAGACACCCUCCUAUGUGCCUCCUGUCUCCCCCCUUCUUCCGGCACAUCUCCCUCUUCCUCAUUCACCACCGACAUCACCCUCCCCUCCGUCCUUCUCCCCAUCCUCAUCAUGUGUCUCUCCUUCUCCUCCAUCCUACACCCUACCCUCGGCAUUCGUAUCUCCUUUUCCUCUUCACUACACUCACCGCCCUCGUAGUGAAGAUGAUCCUACUAACGCGCCCUCCACUUCCGAAGUGCUUCCCUUCACGCCUCCCCCGGAUCAUAACCUUAGAUCUCGGCCAUAUCCCUCACCUAGUCGCUAUUCUCCUAAUCGUUAUGGUAUCUCUGUUGUGGUUGAGCCCAAUUCUUACCGGGUUGCCAUGACUCGGCCUGAAUGGCUGCUUGCGAAGGCCGAGGAGCUUGCUGCCCUUGAGCGCAAUGGCACCUGGGAUCUGGUUUCCCUCCCUUCUGGUGUUCGUCCCAUCACCUGCAAGUGGGUCUAUAAGAUUAAGACUCGCUCCGAUAGUUCUCUUGAGCGCUACAAAGCUCGUCGUGUUGCUCGUGGUUUUCAGCAGGAGCAAGGACACGAUUAUGAUGAGACAUUUUCUCUUGUAGCCCACAUGACCACUAUCCGCACUCUGCUUGUUGUGGCUUCUGUUCGUCAUUGGUGUGUGUCUCAACUUGACGCCCAGAACGCUUUUCUUUAUGGUGAGUUGCGCGAGGAGGUUUAUAUGCAGCCAUCACCGGGGUACUAUGCUCCUGAUGGUAUGGUCUACCGACUUCAACGCUCCCUCUAUGGUCUAAAAUAGGCCCCUCACGCCUGGUUUGAGCGUUUCGUCUCUGUGGUGACCGUCGCGAGUUUCUCUCCCAGUGAUCAUGACCCCGCGAUGUUUGUUCACACGUCUCCUUGUGGUCGGACUCUUCUCCUUCUCUAUGUUGAUGACAUGAUCAUCACUGGUGAUGACUUCAGCUACAUUGCCUUUGUUAAGGCCCGCCUUUGUGACCAGUUCCUCAUGUCUGAUCUUGGUCCCCUUCGCUAUUUUCUUGGGAUUGAGAUUUCUUCGACCCCGGAUGGCUUCUUCAUCACCCAGGAAAAUAUAUUCAAGAUCUGCUUGCUCGCUCCGCUCUCGGUGAUGAGCACACUAUUGUGACUCCUAUGGAGUUCAACGUUCAGCUUAGUUCUUAUGACGGUGAUCCUCUCCCUAAUCCCACUCGCUAUCGCCACCUUGUUGGGAGCCUUGUCUAUCUUGUUGUUACGCGUCCUCACAUCUCCUAUCAUAUCCACAUUCUCAGUCAGUUUGUUGCAACCCCCACCUCUUUCCACUAUAGUCACCUCCUCUGUGUUCUACGCUAUCUUCGUGGCACGAUCUCUCAUCACCUUUUCUUUUCCCGUUCCAGCUCCCUCAAGCUCCAGGCCUUCUCUGAUGCUACGUGGGCUAGUGAUCCCUCUGAUUGCCACUCCCUAUCUAACUACUAUAUUUUUCUUGGUCGCUGUCUCAUUGCCUGGAAGACCAAGAAAUAGACUGUAGUUUCUCGGUCGAGUACUGAGGUUGAGUUGCGUGCGAUGGCUAUGCUGACGGCUGAGGUGAUUUGAUUAUCAUGGUUACUUGAGAACUUUGGUGUUCCUGCCACUACAUCGACUCCCUUACUAUCAGACAACACAGGUGCUCUCAGCAUUGCGCGGGACCCGGUGAAGCACGACCUCACCAAGCACAUUGGUGUGGAUGCCCACUUUGUGCGUGCUGCUAUGCAGGAUCACACUCUUGCUCUUCACUAUGUGCCCUGUGAGUUACAUUUGACAGACUUCUUCACGAAGGCACAGAUUCAAGCGCAGCAUGGGUUCUUUCUCUCCAAACUCAGUGUUUGACACACCAUAAGUUUGAGGGGUUGUUAGAUGUGUAUAGUCCAUUUACUGAAUAUGCCCAUUGUAUAAGGGGUUUUUGUCUUUUCUCACAUGUACAUGUACUGACCCUUGGCCCGCCUGAAUGUUAGUUGCUUAUUCCUAACAUUUGCUUUAAAUAUGCUUUUUACUUUACAUGCUACUUAUGUGUUUGAUUACCAGAACUACUAAGUAAUAAUACAGUAGUAUGUAGGUCGAGAAAAAAAUCCAAGUUAGGUUGGAUCGAGUCCUUUGCUUUAGUUGCCUAAUCGUUGUAUCCUUUCUCGGCCUAACUCCACAAAACACUGUGCUAAUAAAUAACCAUAUUAAGUGAGCGGUUCAAGACAAGGAUCGCCUUAUCUCUCAUCGACCAGUUCGACUUUUGCCGUGCAUAUCGAUCUCCAUGCAUCAUAUAUAGCCUCUUUUUGUCUCCAUGGUCGAUCCGCAAAUUAGGUGGAAUUCUAGAAGAGCAUUCAACGCACUAGCUUGUCUUCCCUUUGUUAUUCUAAGUAACGGAUCAUUCUCAGAGAAAGAACAUUUACUCCUGCGUUUUUCAAGUACUCCCUCCAUAUACAAAUAUAAGAUGAAGGUUUCAUAAAACAAAUAUAAGAUUUUCUUUAAGGAAAAACACAAAUAUAAGAUGAUUUGUAUAUUUUAAAUAUGAACUACAUACACAUUGAAUUGAGUGAACGAACACAUUAAAAUGCGUUCAUAUAAAAAUAAAUGGAAGAUAUAUAUUUUUGGACGAAGGGAGUACUAUCUAUUAAGAUACUAUUUAUAUUUCAAGCCUCAUCAGGGACACUGGUUCAUCAGGACCCUGUGUGUUGUUGGUUAAGAGUAAAACACACCUAUUAUAGCCUUAAUGGUCGGACAGUUUUUCCGAUUUUGGAAAGGCCGUAGAACGUUUUGUUUGGUUUAUUUUCCAUUUCACUCUAUCAGUUUUAAUAGUGUUUCCUUUCUUGUUUUUUUCUUCUUCUUUCAUUACCUUUCACCGUUUUUCUUCUUCUUUUUUUCUUUUCCAUAUUUUAUGUCAUGACAAUUUAAAAAUCAUAUACAUUUUCUAAAAUUCACACAUUUUUAAAAAA
This 49138-nucleotide long non-coding RNA is filed under the name Hordeum vulgare. RNAcentral describes it as "long non-coding RNA (HVUL_LNC021625)". The stretch from base 15406 to 15530 matches the Rfam family "MIR1120/MIR1122 microRNA precursor family". The record is from RNAcentral. Lineage: Eukaryota; Viridiplantae; Streptophyta; Magnoliopsida; Poales; Poaceae.